UUUUUUUUUUUUGAGUUAUUACAACUGGGCUUCAUCUGCCUACGGUGUGGUGGGCCGAAACAGCAACGGUAAUUUCGUGCUCGAUCUCUGGGCGUCCUCCAACUAAAAUCCGGGGGCGAAUUCGAAGCCCCCCCCCGUGCGCCGCGUACGUGCGCAGCAGUUAAGGCAGCUUCUGUCCAUGGCUGCUGGCGAGCUGGAACCUGGAAGGAAGGGAGGGUAUGGAAGGAAAUCCCGAACGCCUUGCCAUAAAUACGGCAAUCCCGAGGCAUUGAUUGCGCGACGGACACGCCCGCCCGUUAAUUCCGUGCCGCCCUUUGCCCUCUUUCAAAUUCCAUCCACCCCCCCCUCUCGUCUUCCUUCCAUCUCCAACAGCAGCGCCGGAGCAGAGUGGGUGCACGGGCCGGCCAAAGGGAAGAAGAGGGAGGCGCGGCGGAGCGGAGGGGCUCGAUGCACGCGUGCUUCCAUGGCGGUGGAGGCACCAGCAGGGUCACCAAGUCCGUCGGCAUCAUCGCCAAGAGCGUACGCCACGCCUCUCGCCCCAUAUCGAUCCCCCCACGUUGCUGUUCUUCCAUCGCGGUGUGUUUGAUGUAGUGCAAUGUCCGUCGCGUGUGCAGAUGAAGGCCUUGUCGUUCAUCAAGGUGAGGGCGGCGGGCGGCGGCGGCGGGGACCAACCGCGGCGACGACGGCCUCGGCAUCCGCACCGUUCCCCGAAGGCCGAGGAGCCGCAGGACAAGGAUGUCGCCGCGGCGGCGUCGGCGUCGUCGUCCGCGUCCUCGUCCGCCAAGAUCGCGCCGGCGCAGCCGCACGAGGCCGAUGGCGAUCGCGAGGAUCCCCUUCACCCGCACGAGGAGCAGGAGCAAGGAGGAGCGAAGCACGAGCACUGCGACAAGUGCUGCUCUCCCUUGGACGACGGCGGCGGCGGCGCUGGGGACGAGGAGGCCGCGGCGGACAGCGACCGAGAGUGGGCGGCGGAGCCGGAGCCCGGGGUGCUGAUGACGCUGGUGUCGCGCGGCGACGGCACCAACCACCUCCGCCGGAUCCGCUUCAGCGAGGACUACUUCGGCGACGCGUGGGCGGCGCAGAGCUGGUGGGCGGACAACUGCGACCGCAUCGUCGAGCUCUACAGCGUCGUCGUCCAGCCCGAGCACCCCUCGCACGGCGAAGACGACGACGACGACGAUCCGGCGGCGCCCGUCACCCCGUGCCAAUCCGAGGACGACGACCACCAACCUCCGGUACGCGAUUCGAUUCGUUCCGAUUUUGAUUCUAUUUCCCGCUGCUCCGGUCGCCUGCACUGUGGAGUUUGGCCACCUACCCUCCACCGUACCGGAGCAGCUAGCCUGCCUCGUACAGCAGCGAGGCAAUAAAAGAUUUGCAAUGCCGCCAUAAACCAUGAUCCCAUUCAGCAUCUCGUUUCAAAUCCAUGUUACGAUCGCUGGUACCAGUACUCCCAAAUCCAGCCAUCUUUUCGGUGAUGGGAGUACAGCUUUCUUUCUUGCUGCUACUAGCUGUACGCCUGAUUGAUAAAUAUGGCGGCAGAGUACUGAUCAUACUUUCCUGUAGCAAAUUAAAUCCCCAGCUCCCUUAUGCACCAACUGCAUACAAUCUUUUCUACCAAGUAUGUAGCCUGAUCUGCUUUCCCCCCACUUCUAGAACAACCAAGUAUGACACUGAUUGACUUUAAUUUCACAUGAUCUUGUGAUGCCGAUUCUGAUUCUGAUUAUUGCAAUUGCACCGUGUUGUGGGGUUCACAGGAUGGGAUUGGGGAGCUGGAGUACUCGGCGUCGUGCUCGGCGUCGGCGUCCGCGUCGGGAGGGUCAACCUCCAACUUCUCCGGGCCGUCCAGCGGCAGUGGCAGUGGGUCGGCCAACAAGGUGGACUCCCCAAUUCUCGGGCUCGUCACCGAGGCCGACAGCUCCACAAGGGCAGCCCAGACGAAGGACACCCACACAACGAAACGAGGACAGUGACACUUACCUAGAAAAUUAUACAUGCUCAUCAGCCUUAAAAAACCAGAGAAGAACUGCUGGCGACCUCUGCUGCAUCCUGACUGAAACCGUUUACAGAACGUCAGAACCGUUUCCAACGGUUGUAACAAUGCCUAACUUAUAGCUGCACACUAGGGGCCUGUUUUGUUGUGUGAUAUUUUUGCUGAAAUGUAUAUGGUGUUUUCUAUUUAGCCCAGAUUCGAAAUGGAUAUAAAACUCAAUCCUAUAAUUAUAAAGAUUAUUCAGAUUAUCAGCAUAUAAUGGGUUACUGUACAUUCUUUUUAAAAGAAGUAUCGGCAUGUGGCCAGACAAUCAGUUGUGCAUCCCAUGAUAGAGCUUCCCAUGAACAUUCUUAAAACAGGUACAGAACAACUUUUGUUUCGUCAGAAACAGAAAAACAUCCGAUUUAUCCAAUUUCUAGGUGCAAGCAUGGGGGAAUACAAAAAACACUUAGAAAAAAAUGUACAAUCUGGCCACCUAUUCGCUUCAGCUUAUAAGCCGGCUGAAAAGCUGAAACGGCUGAUUUGUUGUGAGAGGAAAACACUGUUUGGUGGCUGAUAAGCCGGUUGAAUAAGCUAAAGCGAACAGGCCUCUAGUUUACACUAGUCCCCUCAACCUGAAGAACAUUGAUUGGAGUCAAGAACCCCAACGAUAUGCCACGCCUGAUUGGAAUCAAGAAUGCUGAAGCCUAUGGAACCCCGACUAUAUGUGGCACGACUGAUUGGAGUCAAGAACGCUGGCAUCUCCCGAACAACUUGGAUGUUGAUCCUUCCUGCACUUGUUUCUCGCAGGCUAAAUGCUGAAGAAGGGAAGCCUCGUGAUACAUGAGCAACACAGAAUGCCUCAGCGAUAUGCUGCUGCCGAUCUUGGCCAGAUUGGUUUGCUGGUGGUGGUCCACGAGGAGGCUUCGCUUGACAUAAAGGGCCUAGAAUGGUCCGUGUCCGUGCCUCCAUGGCGCUCUGGUGACGCCAGGCAUGCGUAAAUAGGUCUGGGUGUUUGAUGGAGCUGCCGAGAUCCCUGUGCUUCCUGAAUUCCUGAUCCAGCGUCCUGCACAGGUUCAAUUUAAACUCAGCAAUGCCGCAUGCCCCCAUAAAUAAGCUGCAGUCUCGAAACAGAUACUAGCAGACACCAAAUAAAGUGGCAGUAGCUACUAUGUUGCAGGCGGCCAGGCCCAGGCACUUUAACCAAAAUCUUCACCCGCGUAAUGCAUUCAGUGAAUUCAGUCUGCACUCUGCAGCGAGACAUUUGUUGCAGCAAAUCACCGAAAUAGAGUAUCUUUCUUGAGCAACAAUAAGCCCCUAGUCUAAUCCCACCAAGAACAAUACAGCAAAUGAAAUCACAAGUUAGCAAGUUCAAUGCGGUUUACGCAACACUGACAGACAAUGGCUUUGUGCAACGAAAUCGCUGUAAAUGACAUGACAUUUUUUUUACCACGAUCAUAGCAAACUGCACAAAUUAGCAACUGCCUAGGACUAUCAAAAUCGAACAAUUCCUGCGAGUAUCCCGUCGACCAUGGCAUACCUUAAGGUGAAGGGCACCUCAGACGCGGUUGGGGCGGAUCCAGAAGAACUCCCUUAUGAAGGCGAUGACGAUGACGACGCUGGGCACGGUGGUGAGCACCACGCCCACCACGGACAUGGGCGGCCGCGUCUUCAGCGGGCCCCUCCGCGCCCUCCGCCGGUGCGCGUACGCCGCGAGCUCGGCUUCGCCCCACCGCUCGGGCGCUGGCUCGAUCGCCACCGAGGGCACGAGCGGCGGCGGGAGCUGGAAGGGGCACCGGGACCGCCAGGACGAGGGCGGGAGGCAGAGCCGCGCCGCGCGCGGGAGGAAGACGGAGGCGAGCGCCCAGCGGAGGAGCGAGGCGCCGGGGCACAGGAAGGGCGGAUACGACGCGGCGGAGCCCGGGCACGGGACGCGGGAGGCGAGGAAGAGCUGCGAGUGGAGCGACGGCGAGUGGGACGGGUGGGUCAGGAUGUGGGUUAGGGCCUCGGCCCGCUGCGCCCACGUGGGGGCGGGAGCGGCGAGCCGAGCUUGGGCACGGGGCUUGGCCUCCGCCAUGCGGGAUGCGAGUGGGAGACGGUGGGUGGCGGAGGCAGGACGGCGAGGCGACGGCGCGACGCGAGCACGGGGAGCUGCUAACGAUGAGUCGCUGACAGGAUAAGCUAGGCCAAUCAGAAGCUGAGCGGUAAUGGCUGGAAACGCGUACAGAAGCUAGUGGUUUCGUUUUCUCCAUCACUUGGCGUCCAAACAUGUCACCCGCCUUCUCAGCUGGUUCGCGUAUUUAUAACAGACGGAAAAUUUAAAUGAAUUGCGUUCAAAAAGUAAGUCCUUAUCAACUUAACAUGAGUUUGGAGAGAUCGUGAUGCCGGUGGGAGAUGCGAUCGCUGCCCCAGCUCCCGCAGCCGCCGCUGCGUGAUGGGCGCCGUCGUAGCGCAAACCCCUGAGGAGCAGUUGCGUGCGGUUCAGAGUUUCAGAGUCGAAGCUGCUUCACAUUUCAGAUUAGCAUGUGCUUUGUAGUUUCUUCAUGUUUCGUAGAUGGGUUGGCGUUUUUCAGGACGGCUACAAAGAAAUUUGAGUAUUCCUUUGUCUUGUUUUCGAGAAAGCAAUGUAAUUCUGCUUCAGAGUCCUUCAGGUUGCGUCCAAAUGGCUAGUUGAUUCCCCCUCUCUUUUGUUCUGGGACAUAGUCAUAUGAACAUUAUCGUGAGAGAAAAAAAUCUAAACUGGCAAAGCGAAUACAGUAUGAAUAGCAAUGACCAUAAUCUCCACUUACACACAGCAAUCUCCAAUACUUAUUUCUAAAGCAAAAUUAUUUACAAUCACGCUCUGAUUAAGUGUGAAUGGAAGCAUACAACCGUUUACACAGAAAUGCGACUAUGCAGAGAGAACAGUAAUGUGACUAUAAUUCAGGUGCCAACAGUAUGAAUAGAUGCAGAGAACUUUUCAAACAAAAAUCUAGACAAGUUACAAAAAGAUAAUACGGACUGCCAAAGCUGCAAGUAGUCCUUCAGGUAUUCUGGACACAUAAUCAGCUAAAUGUCAGUAGUUAGUAGUGAUUGCUGCAACAAGUUAUGGUGUUCUACUUUAUAAACCCUAAACAAUGCAUAUAUAUUGGGAUGAUUUCUUUUCCAGGUUGCCAUAUGAUCAUUCCGAACUAUGCAGGUGUAACUCUUGCUUGUUUGAUCAAUAAGCAAGCAGCCCUCCACUGGGCAACCUGUUAUGAACUACUUGUACAAGCCUCUUUGAUCUCCACUUCAUCAAGGAAGUCCAAGGAACCAUAAUCAUUUUCUGCCUCCAACUGUAUACCAGCACAUAGCUCCAUUUUUCCUACAGAUUCAAGACCUUUGAUCAACGUUGUAUAUGUUAUCCUAUCAGGAUCACUGUCCCACAAUUUCAUCAGACGGAAACAAUCCAUUGCUAAUUGUGUGAACCCAGCAUCUAGGAGUGCCUUCAGAAGCAGAUUGAAACCUUCAGUGUCUGGCUCCAGUUGUUCCCUCUUCAGGUAUGAACAGGCUUUGUCGACCUCAGACUGUAAACCUUUGCUUGCAAGCACUGUAACAAGAUCUACGUACCACAGCAACCUAGGCCUGUACCAAUGCUCCUUCCGAAUCUCGUCAAAGACCUAUCAGAAAUGACAACAUUGUAAGAAAUGAGAAGCAUAUCAGUCUUCAUUUCUUUGUUCAGGAAUCAGGACUAUAAGUUUCUGCUUGUCAGCAGUAGCACCAUCUAGUAAUCCUAAAUGCAUAUAAAAAACUAAGAAGGGUGCAUAUGUCAGCAGUGUCACCAUCUAGUAACCCUAAAUGCAUAUAGUAAAAAAAACUAUAAGAAUUAGAAGUUGAUCCUGGUAUUUCAAUGAGCUGCCACUGAAUUGUAUUCAUUCAUGCCACUAUACUGUAAUUUCCUUAAAAAAAAUAGCAGCCAUAUUGACAAAAAAAACCUUAAGGAUCUUGCAGUAGACUAAUGAGGAAUCAUAUAUGUGCUCCACAUUUAAUGGAUUCAUAACCUUUCUAUGCUUAAGAAAUAGCACCCAAAGCACAUCUACUGCAUCCAGCAGUUAAAAAGAAAUGGCUCAAAUCAAAGUGGACAAAAACUUAGACAGGCAUGAAUCCUGAGGGCCUGAUCAGCACAUCAUGCUGCUUCUGAAAGAAGUUAGGAGCUUUGAACCAACAAUUCAUGACAACAAUGAGUUUUCCUUAGAUGAUUAAUGGUGGAUCAGACUAGAAAUUCUGCAAAUCUAUCUAACGGACAGCCGGACAGGAAGUGUAUAAAAAAAAGUUGGUGAGUGCACAUCGGUCAUCAGAUGCAGUUCACAAAGGCUGACAACUUUUGGAUAAACUAUUGUUCCCAAAUUCGUUAUCUCCUUGGACAUGAAGAUAUGGCUAAGCUUUUACCAAUUUGGACAGUGGGAAUAAUUUAGGCCGAUGAAAUUGUUCAGCAUGGCACGAGCACAACAUCGUGACGGGAAUUUACGAUUUUAUACAUUUGUUGCUAAUCUACACGUUCACAGGUAAUUGACUAAUUGAUCAGCACAAUUUGGCCAAGAAUUUGCCCUACGACGCCCAAAACGCCACCAAGGCAGCUUCUGCCGGUGAAGCAGCAAGCGCGCAUAGCACGGCGCCAGCCACGGCGUACCUGGAGGGCCAGGAGGGCCUCGCCCUGCGCGGCGAGCUCGCGGAACACGGCGACCAUGUCGGCCUUGAGGAGGCGCCGCAGCUUGGGCUCCACCGCGGCGGCAGCGGACGCGGCGGAGCCGCUACGGAGGGCGGCGCGCUUGAGGGACUGGACGGCCUGGAUGGCCUCUGUGCUGAGGUACCGGCCGCGCUGCGUCGGCUUCCGGUUCUUGCUCCGGUCCCGCAUCGUGAUGGUCCCGGCGGCGGCGGCGGCGCUCCUCCGGCGAGCGCUGCCGCCGGUAGAGGGUAGGCGGAGCGGUGAGUAGGCGGUGAGUAGGCGGAGCAUCGCCGCUCAGCUCUGCCUCUGCUCGAGUUGGAUAUUGGUGUACUGGUGUGGGAUUGCGGCUGUUUUAGAUGGGUUCAGACUUCAGACUUCAGACAGUAGUCCCCCGUCCGCGCCCCUCCCGCAGAAGUCGCGGGCCGCGCCCCUACCACAGGCGUCGCCGAUCAUCAGCUCAGGUCGCCAAGAAGCAGCAGGCGCCCCGCCGUCCAAGAGACCACGAAGGUGUACUCCGCUCUUGAUUCGGGUGCUUGGCUGGCUGGCCUGGCUAGUUUCCUAGUUGGUGCUGAUGCUUGGGGUGGGGACUAGGGUGCGUGCAGGUGCCGGAGGUCGAGAUCAUCCAGAUCGUGGAGAAUGUGUGCAAACUGAAGAAAUAGGAGGCGGAUUGGACGCUCUGGAUCGAUAUCGUUGAGAAAGGCAACAGGCUGGAGGUAAAUUGACACUCUAUGGCCAUGUUUAGUUUCCUCCCAAGUCCCAACUUUGACACUAUGUAAAAAGAAGAUUCUCCAUCACAUCAAACUUGCGGUACAUGCAUGAAGUACUAAAUGUAGACGAAAUUAAAAACUAAUUGCACAGUUUUGUUGUACUUUGCGAGACGAAUCUUUUGAGCCUAAUUAGUCAAUAUUUGGACAAUAAUUCACAAAUACAAACGAAACGCUACAGUUGCGCAUUUAUGGUAAAAUGCCAAUUUUGCCACUCCCAAAUUGGGAACUAAACAAGGCCUAUGUUAGCUUCUGCAACCUCAAAUCGAACGAAUUAUUUAGGCUUUUUCAGAAAUUUUGUGUAGGACUUUCGUGUUCUCCCUGUUUCUCUCGUAGCUAUCCUAGUUAAAUGCCAAAAUGUUUAAUCGAUAAGCACCUAAUCAAACUUGCAUACCGAUGCGACUCCUAUCUGAUUUUGAUCUUUUGGAAGACUGGGUCUGGGAGCAACAUGCGUGUUAGCCACCUGCAAACUCAACAAGCAAUUUGGACUUGAUAUGUUGAGAUAUGUUUUCUUGGCAUGUAACAUGGCUAAUUCUAUCGUAUUCUAGCAUGGCUGCUUCAUCUAGAAAUUUACCUGUCCGCUUCAGCUUAUUCAGCCGGCUUAUCAGUCACCGAACAGUAUUUUUCUCUCACAACAAAUCAGCCGUUUCAGCUUUUCAGCCGGCUUAUAAGUCGAGCCGAACAGGGUAUCCCACUGUGUGUCUCUGUUCGUACUCUCUGAAUCAUUGUUGCCUUAUAAUGAAUUCAGAUAACUCUCUGAAUCAUUUGUGUUCUGGUGGUUAUGUUUUUUUUAUCAGUUUGAAGUUGGUUUUAGUCUGGGCUAAAGGUUGAUUAGCAUGAUCUAUGUUUCUUCCGCUACUGAAUACUGAUACUAGCUGCUACAGGUUUAUGGAACUUUGGCAAUUGCUGAACUUGGGACCGAUCAUGCAGCAUAUCAUAUAGAAGAUCAUUUAGACCUUGCUUCAUGGGCAUAUAUAACAGUUAGCUUCACAAAUCAAGUUGUCACCAACUAGAUCAGAAGUUUCUCCAGGUUACACGUGUCUCCUGCUCCUGUUGAUUAUAUGUUAACCUGAAAAAAAUUGAACUUCAUCAGCUGCUUGUUGCCUUUGAUCAUGCUGUAGGAGUAAGACCAAUUGAACUAUGUAUCUAUUUUUAUCUGCUUGAAAAUUGAAUUCACAUGGGAUAAAGCUCAGUUAACAAUGGAUAAGUUCAUUUUUAUCUGCUAAAUAGCUUGAGUGUGCAUGUAUGCUAUGAGAUAGGCGAGUACAAUGAUUUGGGGUAUACAAUAUACCAUAUACUAUUAUUAGCCAUAGUUGAUGUGUGCCAGAUUUUGCUGUUACAGGUUUACAGAACUUUGACGAUUGUGAGCAUGAAAGAGAUAAUACAGAAAAUCAUUGAGGAGAUCAUCUUGUCUUUCUUUCAGAUCAGAUUAAUAUGCUUCAGUGCAGUUAUUCCAUACUUGUACCCCUUUACAUUCUUCUUUCAGAUUAGAUGAAUAUGCUUCAGGGCAUUGUUAUUGGGGUGUACUCCUCACAGCCGUUAUAUAAAAUUGUUAACUUUCAAGGGGUAAAACAGAUCUACACCACAGCAGUGCGGAAGCUGUUCAUCCCCCAAGAGUUCAUGCCUUGUUAUGGUUAUUGUCCAGAAACAACAAACAAGUUGCUGACCCAGGAUAACUUAAGAGAAGAGAUGUUGCGAACCAGAGUUGCUUGUUCUGCAGCCAAAAUGGAAGUGUUCACCACUUGUUCUUUGAGUUUGUGGUCGCCACUCUUUCGAAAAAAGUUUGUGGUGGCCAAAAAAUCCUGUACCUCACUAGCUGAUGGUUUUGGUAGCCCAGUAGUGAUUAGCUUUGAAUCAGUUGCUAAGUUUUGGCUGUUUCAUAAAAAAAACAUGCUAUCUUUAGCAUGGCUAGCUCAGCAGUGAUGUGAGAUCUCUAAGAAAUUAUUCUUGUUUUCAGAAUACAGCCUGGAGGAAUAUGUCACUGCUCUGGCGUCCGGUGGUACAGAUGCUCAAGAACCGGGAAUUACUCUGCCCGGUCAAGCUUCUGGAGCAGCACAACACAAGACACUGGUGCCUUCCUUGAAAGGAUUAGCAGCAGGAGUACUUAUAGCUGGUGUCUGAUCGUAGACCUGUCCAUACAUGAUGAAAGCCAACAGAAGUUGCAGCUGGGGAAGGAAGCACCGGAGAGUGGGAGCCGCAAACAGCUACUGCGACAGCGAGAUGGCGGUGUGCUCUGAGCACUGAGCUGCACAGGAGCUGCAGGCUAUCGCAAACUGAGGGAAACCGUCUGAGGCAGAGGUAGUCAGCUGGGUUACACCAUGCUCUUUUGAUGUGGGAUGUUCAGUGAACUCUGAUGUAUGAGUAGAGAGGGAACAAUGCAUGCUUCUGAUAGACUGUCCUGUUUUAUGCAAUGCAUUAUGGACGGGGGCUGAGGCCCUGGAACUCUAUAUUUGUAUCCCAUUAUGUUGUCUGUGAAGAUCGAAGGCAAAUUUGGUCCACAAAUGAUUUUUUUUCCCUGUAGAAAAAGGUCUCUGCUGAAGCCUGUAUGAACCAUGGAGAUAGCUGUGCUAGUGUGCUUUGUGCGCAUGGCUGAUGGCUCAAGUCCGUGCGAUUUUCAAAUGACACAAGGUUUUAUUGAUGAGACUCGAUAGCAAUUCACAUGGCACCCCAAUAGCCAUCCUUCUCCCCACUGGUCAAUCAAGACAACAGCUCAACGAGACAACCGAUAUGCCUAUAAUUAACGCCUCAACGGCUCCCGAUUUGCAGCCCCACCACCACGUGCGCCACGUCACACCGCCAGCCGCGCGAGCGCCUCGCCGGCGCGCUCGCCGGUGGACAGCCGGAGCCUCCUGUAGUCGUCGUACUUGAACUCCCUGUAGCGGCGCGGGUGGUCGGCGUCCACGAACGCCUCCGGCGCGCUCACCCUGUCGUCCUUGGGCGCGAGCAGGAACAUGGCGAUGGAGAAGCGCGGCACCGGCGCGACGCACUGCACCCGGUGCCUCACGUUGUGCAGCCUCCCGUUGCUCCAGGCCUGGGUAAACGAACGGCAUCGAUCAAAGACAUCAAGAUCGAGCACCUGGAGACGGCACGGAUCUGCCAAGAACGAAGUUCAUCAUACCGUGCCGACGUCGCCGAUGUUGAUGAGGAAGGAACCGGCGACGGGGUCGACGGGCACGAACUCGCCGGUGGCGGGGUCCAGCACCUCGAGGCCGCCGACGCACUCGUCCUCCUGGAGCACGGUGAGGAAGCCCGAGUCCGUGUGGGUCUGCACGCCGGGGGAGCCCACCGUGUCCUCCGUGUAGUUGUACCGGUUGAUGCGGAACUGGCACGGCCACUCCCCGAACGAGUGCUCCUCCAGCCCCAGGCUCGAGGCCAGCUUGCCGGCGACGUCGACGAUCACGCCGUGCAUCCGCUCCGCGUAGCUCUUCACGGUCGCCCUGCGCCAAAGAUUUUUUUUCCAUCAACCGGGACGAGAUUUCUAUCUAAAUCGGGAGAGGGGGAGGGCAGAAAUGGGCCGAGCUAGAAAAAGCACGUGCGAGAGCGUGGCCGACCUGAGGUGCGGCGGCGCGUCGAGGCGCGCGCAGAAGGCGUCGACGUCGGCGGGCGCGGCGGCGUCGAGGAGCCCGAAGGCCUCGUAGAGCGGGUUGGCGGCGCUGGGCGCGACGUAGCCGCUGCCGGGGAUGACGUCGGCGUUGCGGCGCUUGGCGUCGUCGGGGAGGUCGAAGAGCGCGCGCACGGCGGCCUUCAUCUCGGCCAGGAGCUCAAGGGGCACGCCGUGGCCGGUCAGCCGGACGCAGCCCAGCCGCUCACACGCGGCCCGCAGGCGCGCCGACUCCUCCGGCGCCGCGCCGGCGAGGCGCAGGUCGACCACCGGGAUCUCCACCGCCAUCUCGUCCCCGCUGGCAGCUGCCGAAGCCGGCCGGCCUUACUCUCCCGCACGCGCCGCCCGAAUUGACUUCCGUGCGUGCGUGCGUGCGUGCCGCGGGGAUUGGCUUGGCGUCGCUCGGUGGCUGGCCUGGGGGCCGUAUUUAGAGGCGCUCGUGCGCCGCGAGAACGGCGCGGGGGGGGGGGGGGGGGGGGGGCCGCACGGGCGGCGCCGCUCGUCGGGGAGAGACCUGCGGCGCCACGCGACGUCCUCCCUGCUCGCCGCUGUAUCGCCGGUUUGUCGAGACAAGCGACCGACACGCCGCGCGUUCCACGUCGAAGGCUUGCUGAAUUGCUUGUGUUUGUCAUCAGACCGUGGAGCCAGCUGAUCGGGAAACGGUGAAGCCAGCACGGCACGCAAGCCCAACUUGGCGAACGUUUUCCUACGCCUCGGAGCCGAGGACGCACCGUUCUUUGCGACGCUGGAAAAGAGUCGUUGGCGCACACUUUCGGCUGUGGCUGACUGGCAUCACCUCGCUUGUCUCUUUAGAGGACAGGCGGGGCGGCGAUGCCAACCUGGUCGCCGACUUGGGGACAUCAGGAUCGGAUAUGGAUCCAGAGGAAGGGACAAGCGAGGAAGGGCGUCGCGAUCGCUGAGGCGUGGAAUACAAUCCAUCUACUGUCACUAACGUUCAUUGACUCCAAGCGGGUGAUAAUGAUCCGAACCUCUCCUGCGCACAUGCGCUUUCCUCCCCGUGCCCCAAUACAAUCUGUGGCCGGCGUAUCGUAUCAUGCAGGCAGACAAAGGAUCUCGAGAGGUCGAAAAGAUAUCCGUUGCUGUGACAUGGUAAUCCGAAUACUGUUGUCGUGAUAAGUCUGUUGUCGUGACAAGUCUGAACCGGAAAACUCAACAUAGUAUGAAUGGGUAGUACAUAGUAGCAAUUACCAUAGAUUUCCACUCUCACGCAACAGCAACAUCCAAUACUACUACAUUUGCAGUCUACAUUCUGGAAGCAUGUAACCCUUUGCAGAGAAAUGCUACUGACAACAGAAGUAAUGCGAGUACAAUUCAGUGGCAACAAUAUGAUUAGAUACGGAGAACUUUUCAAACAAAGUAUUCAGAGAAGUCACGAAAAGGAGGGGGGGAAAAGGACUCACAAACACGCUUAAGGAUUCUGGAUUACAGCAUGAUAUUAGUAGCCACUAGUCAUUGCAGCAUCAAAUUAGAAAAUCUCGUCCCAAGCUUUAGGAACUACUCGUGCAAGCCUCUUGGAUCUCCACUUCAUCGAGGAAGUCCAACGAACCGUAAUCAUUUUCUGACUCAAUCCUUAUAUCAUCAGCUAGGUCAAUCUUUCCUAGGGAUUCAAGACCUUUGAUUAGUGUUCCGUACGUUAUCCGGUCAGGAUCACGUACUGUCCCAUAAUUUCAUCAGACGGAAAUAGUCCCUUGCCAAUUGUGUAAACCCAGCAUCUAUGAGCGCCUUCAGAAGCAGAUUGAAACCAUCAGUGUCGGGCUCCAAUUGUUCCCUCUUUAAGUAUGAACAGGUUUUGUCGGCCUCGGACCGUAAACCUUUGCUUGCAAGCGCUGUAACAAGAUCUACGUACCACAACGACCUAGGCUUGUACGGAGGGAGUACCAAUGCUCCUUCCGAAUCUCCUCAAAGACCAAGCAGCAAUGACAGUAUUGUAAGAGGCAUCUCGGUCUGCAUUUUCUCGGUUCUGGACAAGAACCUUCUGCCUGUCUGCACCAUCUAUUAAUCCUAAAUGCAAAGAACAGUAGAGGGGAGUGUUUGUUUAUUUAGGAGCUUCUAAAAUUCCUAUCACAUCGAAUGUUUAGAUACUAAUUAGGAGUAUUAAGCAUAGACUAAUUACAAAACCAAUUGCGCAGAUGGAGGCUAAUCUGCGGGACGAAUCUAUUAAACCUAAUUAGUCCAUGAUUUGACAAUAGGGUGCUACAGUAAACACGUGCUCAUGAUGGAUUAAUUAGACUUAAUAGAUUCAUCUCGGGAAUUAGCCUCCAUUUAUGUAAUUAGUUUUAUAAUUAGCUCAUGUUUAGUCCUCCUAGCCUCCGAAUAUUCUAUGUGUCAUGAAUUUUAGUCCAAACUAAAGAUCCAAACACCCCCUAAGAAGAGAGGAUAUUGAUGUAUAAGUUGCAACAAAUUUGUAGCCCCAAUAUAAAUAUAACUAUGCACACAAGGUAGCAGUUAAAGAAAAACAACAGAAAGAACUUGGGAUCCUGUGGUAAUGUGGUUUGCCACUGGAUUGUCUUUACUCGAUCAAAAACAGCAGCCACAUUGACACAAAUUUACUUUAAGAUUAUUGUUGCAGAAUAUUUAUCAAAAGGAAACAAAGUUCCACGGUUCAUGGAUUUAUAUAUAUCUCUUACUAUGUGUAAGAAAUGGCAUACGUAGCAAAUCACCGCAUCUGAACAAUGAGAAAGCAUUGGCUUGGUUGAAAGUGGACAAGGGUUAAUUAAACUCAUAAUCCAUGAGGGCCCGAGCUGGGCAGGAAGGACAUCAUGCUGUUACCAGAGGAAGUUGGGGAAGCAGUCACAAUCACAAGAAUAGCCUAAGUUUUCUGAGACUAGAAAUACAGAAUAUAUAUGCCAUGCCGAGGAAGGAUCAUUAACAGGAAACAGCAAAGCUGAGGAAACGGCGUAUACCUGGAGUGCCAGGACGGCCUCCCCCUGCGUGGCGAGCUCGCGCGGACCGUGUCGGCCUUGAGGAGCCGCAUGGAGGUCUAGAAAAAUCAAAACGACUAAUAAUUUGGAACUCACAAGUGACACUAUUUUAUUGAUCGGGAUAGGUAGCAGUUCACAAUUCGCUUGCAUGGUAUUGCAACUCGCAAGUGACACUAUUUUAUUGAUCGGAAUAGGUAGCAGUUCACAAUUCGCUCGCAUGUCUCGUAUAGUCAUACUCAUCCUUCUUCCCAAUUUGCAAGCUCUGGGACUAUGCUCGUGCAAUUUAGCGCCUCCAGUUCAGUAAAGGGCUUCCGGAUCAGGCGGCCACGUCACGCCUCCAACCGCGCGAGCGCCUCGCCGGCGUGCUCGCCGGUGGACAGCCGGAGCCUCCGCAAGUCGUCGUAGUUGAACUCCUUGUACCGGCGCGGGCGGCCCGCGUCCACGAACGCCUCCGGCGUGCUCACCCUGCCGUCCUUGGGCCCGAGCAGGAACAUGGCGAUGGAGAUGCGCGGCACCGGCGCGACGCACCGCACCCGGUGCCUCACGUUGUGCAGCCUCCCGUUGCUCCACACCUGGAACCGCGCCAGAUCGAUGGAGAUGGGUGGUCAAGAACUUAAGAGCACCGAGACGGCAUGGAUGAUCCGCCAUCAGGUUCAGGGGGAGAGGGGUACCGUGCCGACGUCGCCGAUGUUGACGAGGAAGGAGCCGGCGACGGGGUCCACGGGCACGAACUCGCCGGCGGCGGGGUCCAGCACCUCGAGGCCGCCCACGCACUCGUCCUCCUGGAGCACGGUGAGGAAGCUCGAGUCCGUGUGGAUCUGCACGCCGGAGGAGCCCACCGUGUCCUUCGUGUAGUUGUACCGGUUGAUCCGGAACUGGCACGGCCAGUCCCCGAACGAGUGCUCCUCCAGCCCCAGGCUCGAGGCCAGCUUGCCGGCGACGUCGACGAUCACGUCGUGCAUCCGCUCCGCGUAGCUCUUCACGGUCGCCCUGCGCCAAAGAUUUUUUUUUUCCAUCACCCGGGACGAGAUUUCUAUCUAAAUCGGGAGAGGGGGAGGGCAGAAAUGGAUCGAGUUCCAAGCAAUCAGCACAGCUUAUGACAGACGUUCAGGAGCAGGCAGCCUACUAGUGCUCUGCGGGAGCAAAACACCUUUGUUCUAUAGGUUGGCCGCUACAAGCGGCAAUGCAGCGCACGACCUAGUGUAUUAGUACCUGGGUUUACACGUCUUUUGGUUGUAAAUUUUAACAUGUAAUCACCUAACAUGCCCUAACCGUGUGCGUGCACUCGGGAGGUCCGUAUUGUACGAAACUUUUACUUUCUUCGUAAUCGAAAGAUAUGGAUCGAACUAGAAAAAGCACGCGCGAGAGCAUGGUCGACCUGAGGUGCGGCGGCGCGUCGAGGCACGCGCAGAAGGCGUCGACGUCGGCGGGCGCGGCGGCGUCAAUGAGCCCGAAGGCCUCGUAGAGCGGAUUGGUGGCGCUGGGCGCGACGUAGCCGCUGCCGGGGAUGACGUCGGUGUUGCGGCGCUUGGCGUCGUCGGGGAGGUCGAAGAGCGCGCGCACGGCGGCCUUCAUCUCGGCCAGGAGCCCCCGGGGCACGCCGUGCCCGGUCACCCGAAAGCAGCCCUGCCGCUCGCACGCGGCCCGCAGGCGCGCCGACUCCUCCGACGCCGAGCCGGCGAGGCGCAGGUCGAUCACGGGGACCUCCGCCGCUGCCGCCAUCCCCGCUGCCUCGGCCAUGAUCUCUACUCUCCCGGACACGCCGCCCGGGUGUGCUUGCUGGGCUGCUGCUGUGUGCCUGCAUGUAUAUCGACGGGUUGGUGAGACAAGCGGCCGACACGCCGCGUGUCCCACGUCAAAGGCUGCUUUCGUUGCCAUCGGAUGGUGCAGCCCGUUGAUCGGGAAACUGUGAAGCAAACAUUUUCCUACGCCUAGACCCUAGAGGACAAGGGGUCAGCGAUGUCUGCCGGGUCGCCGGCUUGGAGCACCGGUGGGAACUCUGAAGCCUGAACCUGCUGAUGGUGAGGAUCGUUUUCACUUUUCAGUCGAGGAAGCACACUGAGAAGUGGCACCCGGAAGUCCAAGCAGGCCUUGCGCGAUAGGCCGUGAGAUGCGCGGCCUCGGCGUUUGCGUCGGCCGCGAACGAACGUUCAGAACACACUACACAAAACGAACAAGUUCAGGAGAGAUACGCACAAAGGAAAGGAGAGUUUAGAGUAACAUGCAAAUACGACGAUGAAAACGAGUCCUGUACAUACACAAAAGUGUUCGGACUUCGAAACACACUACACAAAAGGUGUUCGGACUUCCAUACGACAGCUCGAGUAGUAAACGAAGCAGAACACUAGAGAAACCCGUCAACUCAAUGCUUACGUUACGUACACGCCCGCUGUAUAUAACACACACGUACUACCUCGGAUGUCCCCUGCGUCUCCAACUUCUACACUACUAGUUCGUGAUACGUGCCACGACGCCCGAUCGAUGAGCGGCGGCGACGACGACGUCGGCAUGCCCGCCGGCGCUCCCAUCCGGCCGUGGGCCGACCUCGAGCCCGGCCUCGUCUCCACCAUCGCCGACUGCUGCGCGCUCAAGGACUACGCCUCCUGCCGCGUCGUCUGCGCCGCGUGGCGCUCCGCGCUCCCGCCGCCGCUAUCACGCCCGCUCACCGUGCUCCCGGCCGACGACGCCGCGAGCCUCCCUGUCUCGCUUGCCGCCUGCUCCCUCCACGCGCGGCGCUGGUCCAGGCUCCUGCUGCACCGGCCGGGCGGCAGGGUCGGCGCCGCGGCGCGCUGCCGCUGCGUCGGCGCCUCGCGCGACGGGUGGGUGGCACUCGUCGCGGGCGACGCCGCGGCGCCCGCGGGGCCCAUGCUGUUCAACCCCUUCACCGGCGAGGAGAUUCCGCUGGACGAGUCGCUAUACCAGCCCGCGCACGGCCAGCUGGCGCCCAAGAUCAUCUUCUCGCCCAACCCCACGCGCCGCGACUUCAUCGCGGCGAGCCUCAUCCGGCCGAACAUGGUCGCCGUGCAGAGGGCGGCCAACGGCUGCUCGUACAGCGAGGACACGGGCCCGCUCCUCGACGGGGUCGUCCUGGUCGACAUCGCCUACGGCGACGACGGCAAGGUCUACUGCUUGGCGUGGGACGGCGAGGUGCACGUGCUCCACCUCACCCGCCGCCACCGUGUCUGCCGCCAGAUGCCGCCGAUGGAGGUGGGGCCGCUGCCGAAACUGCCCAUCGGCGCCGACGCCUUCCCUCCGCCGUACGACGUCAUCUCGGAGUACACGGACGGCAAGAACCUGGUGCUCUGCGAAGGUGGGCUGUACCAGGUGUGGAGGCGGUCGAGCGGCUCCGGCUCCGUCACCGUUGACGCGCCGCCCGGGGGAGCCGCGCGGCGGAUUCGCAUAUUCGAGGGUGACGUCUUCGUCCUCAGGUACGACCCGGGGAACUGGCCGGGCAGCUGCUGGACGGUGGCCGACGCGAAGGAUCUGAGAGGGAACGCGGUGUUCGUCGGCAUGAACGACGCGGCGGUGGUGCGCGGCGAGGGCGUGAGCGCCAACAGCGUCUACUAUUGGGACGGCCCGCGCGGGGGAGACGGAGACUACGAGGCGGUGGUGUACAACGUGGCAACCGGAGCCUCUGUCCGGUGGCCGGCGGCGUCGACCGGAGGCGUGUCGUGCCCCGUGUGGUACUUCUUGCCGGCGGCCGGCGUCAGCCAGCGCGUGGGAGCAGAAACAACUGGCGUGGAAGCCACGUCUGGGGAGGAAGCGACUUCUCUCGAACAUGGCGAGAAGGAGGACAGUGCGCAUUGUCUCAAGAAAACGAUGAAUUUGCUUGGUAGGUUAGAUUAUCGUGUCGUUUAUGAUAGCGGUCUGUGUGAAGAUGGCGAGCGUUAAACUUGCUUUUUGUUAGCUUUAUUUAUAGUGUGAAAAGAACUGGUUCUAUUGCGUCAUGUUUGUCGAGAUUUAGGCUGGUACAAAACUCAGGCACACGUACACAAUACUACUGAAGUACGAAAAAGAAAAGGUAGAUUAAUGCAAACAAGUCGAACAUUUUUUGUGCAAUCUUCUAUGAGCUAGUUCUGGCAUAAUUGCUCUGCAUCUUCUGCUUCCCACGAUAGAAUGAUCAAAACCUACAAUUUUGAGUGGAGGGAGUAUUUGAUUGGAUGCUAACUCAUUCGAUCCUAAUUAUAGGCAACAAUUAUUUUUCUUUCACCAUGCAAAAAUUGGAGGGCUGCGUCAUCAGUUCUUGAUACAUUCAAUCAAACACGUGGUAAAUUUGAUAAUUUGUGUUGUAAGUAUAUAGAUGUUACUAGGAAUAUUUUGGGUCAUCCGAUAUUACUUUUAAUAUUUCUAUAAUAAAAUAGAUGUUACUAGAGAAAUGGUAAUGUUUUAAAUUAAAUCAGAGGGUAUAUCGUGUCAGUCUUAUUGCUAAUUUUCCUCCUAGUCCGAAUGCUUGAUUUUUUCUUAUUCGAACCACAUCUUGCAUAUGUCUUCGCUUGAGUCCAUGUAAUGUUGAGUUUCCAUUUUGCCUUAUCCUACCUCUACCUUCUACUCGUCGUAUCUAAUAUCGUCACCUUAAUAAUCCUUCUCUGAUAUGAUAAGCUUUUUUUUCUCAACUUCAACAAGAUGCUUUUACGUGCCCUUGCUCUACCUUACUUACCUUUUUCUUGUUGUUCUCUCAUCCACUUUGAUCCAUUGAUAACUUCCAUCACCCGAGAUAACCCCAAUAUACCACGAUGCCAAUCUUAUCUACCUUCUACUUGUCGUGUCUAAUACCACCACCUUGUUAAUCCUUCUCUGUACGAUAAUCUCUCUUUGCCUUAGCUUCGACAAGAUCGCUUUUGCGUGCCCUUGCCCCACCUUACAUACCUUUCUUAUCGUGACAGCUCUCAUCCACUUUGACCUAUAGUCCAUCAUUUCCGAUAACAAAAAAUGCUACAGUCCUCACUCCAUCCAUCAUCACUAUAUGCCCAAUCUAACUUGACGACCUUUCCUCUAAUUUCACUAUGUUUUGAAACCUCACUUUCUAAGAUCAAAAUCUGAACCCUAAUCCUACAACUCUAUCUCGAAUAAACUCUCAAUUGAGUGACAAAAAAUCCAGUGUCGAAGCUGGCGAAAACAUUUGAGCAUUUUCCAUCCGCUGGGUUAAAAAAGAACGGGAUUUCAUCUACCACUGUGCAAAAGGGUCCAGAUCACACACCUGGAAUCUACCUCCCGUUAAACCUCUCUCCCCCUCCUUUCUCCUCCUCUCUAUCCUCCAUUCCUCUCCCCAAUCCCCAUCCCUUCCUCGUCCUUGGGGCUUUGAGCUCGUCGACCUCCGGCCAAAUCUGGAAGCAGCGACGGCACCCGGCGGCCGUCACAUCCCCGCGCGAAUUGUCCCGACCCCCGACUCUUUCCUCCCCCAUCCCGAUCCGGAAGGGAGCGGUUUCCCCCUGUCCAAAUCGAGCCACCUGCGCCCGUCGGGGGAGAAGCAGGCUGCGCAUCCAGUGCGCUCGAGCUCCUGCAGGCAGCUUCCCCGUCGAGCCUCCGCAAGGAUCCAUUUUGCCUCCCAUCGGCGACGCGGAAGAGAACCGCGGAGGGGAUUGCGAAGCUUAAAACCCACGACACCGGUUGCCGAGCCCCACCGCGCACGCUCCUGCAGGAAGGUACCCCCUUUUCUCUUCGUCCUCGCUUAUCUCUGAUUCCUGCACCCGCCGGAGAGGAGAGAGUUCGCCGGAGUAGUACGGCUUGGACAGGAAGGAAUCCGGUGGUAUUUUUGCAAUUGCCAAAAACAAUCAUGGUACCGCGGCUAUGUGCUACGAAGGCAAUUCUCUUGUGGUGCUAGACUGGUUGCCAGGGCUUGGGCCAUCAGCACUGGCAUAAUGGGUGGAUGCUUACUUAUUGUGUAUAUUUUGCGCAGAUAAAGAUGAUGGAUGUGGUGUUUGUAUCUCUUCGCCGUCUGUGAAGACCUGCUGUGUAGGUGACAUCAAGAUAUGGUGAUGCGGAAGAGGUCGGAUUCUGGAUCCCGUGGCCGCCGAACUGCAACCAUGCCACGUGUUCCAAACUCAGCUCGGGUACAUGUUCUUUUGAUCAUGUUUUUGCUUUGACCACAAUUUGCCAAUUGAAUCCUUAUUAACGAUCCACGUUAAUGCAGGGGAAACGCACCACCAGGAAAAAGAAAGAUGAGAUGUGCGCAUUUGAUUUGCUUGCCACCGUUGCAGGAACACUAUUAGCAGAUCAGGACAUUUCCAACAAUGUUCCUAAUACUAGUGGUGCAGCAAAAGCUAAAAACAAGAAAGCAGUUAAAGAAGAACACCGCGAUGAAAUUCUGCCCCUAAAUAACAUGGCUGUGGAGAAAGAUUGCUGCAAUGGAUGUGUAGUGGGUUCUGGUGGUAUCUGUGCCUUUCCUAGGCAAGCUAACAACUGCUCGGCAGAAAACUCGUCGACAAUAAACGAAGCUGGAUCAAUGUUAGAGUCACUAACAGUGAAAUCAAAUAUGUUAGUUAGGGACUCAUUGGUUAGUUGUACAAGACCAUAUGAAACUAGCUGUGGUCUCGGCAUAAUUCCUGAGUUUGGAGCUCGUGGAACACACCAUCCAGGAUCCUCAAGUUCAGCAGAGGCUGAACAAAUGCACCAAGCUGAACCUAAAGUGGUCAGAAGACAAGCAGAUGGGCAUGCUGCGGUUCUUCACAGUUUGUUUGACUCCGUGGAUCUUGAUGUUAGACCUCCUGCUUUGGUUAGUUCUGACAGUAGCUCGUGUGUUCCUCUGUGCAACCAUGACAAGGACCAUCAAACUGCUUCCUUGUGUCGGGAUGAAGUGCAGUAUACUGCAGACAGAGAUGACGAUGAAAAUUCUUCUGGGUGCACGCAUCCAAGCACUGCAGGGGAUAAGGGUAGCAGGCCACAAUAUAUUGGUAGCCACAGGAUAAGGAAAUUGCUUGCCUCGAAGGUAAGGAAGGCAGCACGUAAUAAGAUUUGUGGAGGGAUGCCAUCAAAAAAGGUUUGUGGAGGGAUGUCCAACAAAGGUAUGCCAAUCCCAUGUUCCCAUGGUGUUAGUAUUUGCAUCAUCUACACUCCUAGUUGCUCAAUUAGCUGCCAUAGAGAACCAUGUUUCCUUUUGCUUCUCUCUAUUAUCAUUGCAACCUGCCAACAUAGGAAUUUGACUAAUCAAGGGCCACUGGUUGUUUUACUCAAAUAGGUAGCAAGCUAAAUUUAUGCAGCAAAAAGAUACCUGCCAGACGUCAAAAGGUGCAAAGGACAAUUUUCAAGAAGAAAAAACCAGCGCAUCAUGCAACUUCAUUUGCUAAAGAGAUGCUAACUGGAGGUAUUUUAUACUGUUAAAUACAUCUACAUUGUAAUUUUGAAGUCUUCAGUUCUUUAGGAUUAUGCAGACAUCCAGUUCUUCCACAUGGCAUUGGACCUCAAUCCUUGUUUCAAUGCACUUCCUAAAAGAAAAUGUUGCUUGCCAUUGCAGCCGCCGGGACAUCAUUCUCUACAGAAGGUCGGAAUAAAUCAUCGGGAUCUGACAAUUACCAUGGUAUUCUUGGAUAGUGUGCAGUGUUGUGUUCGUUGCUUUUAUUUCCAUGGCUUAUCAUUCCUUUUACUUUUCAGUUAAGCUAAGAAUAAAGUCAUUCAACAUCCCAGAAGUGUUCAUCAAUGUCCCUGAAAAUGCAACCAUUGGUUCAUUGAAGGUACUAUAUGGGAAGCUACAAGUUACUGAUUAGCAAUCAUGCAUUCUUUUGUGCAGCUGUUGUUAAUCUACUAUUACAGUAUUGUUCAUGAAAUCUGCGAGACUGCAAGAUCCCAUUUAACUUUCUGUUUUGCAGUUGGAAAAAAUAUAGUAAUACAUAAGUUACCUGCUAAAAAAUGCUGGACUGGACAGUCAUGUUAGUUUUCUACAUUUGAAUAACCAAACAAUUUGUCGCAAUGUGAAAUAAUGAGUCUUCACAAUAGCUUUAAUUGUUACACAAUACAGAGCAUUUUCUAGCUGGAAAAUUCAACUUCCAUUGUUUAUGAAUAUUACCUUCUUGUGAGUGUUGCCCAAUAACCAUUUCCAAUUUGUCUAUAGAAAACCGUUAUGGAUGUCGUCAAUAGUAUAAUGCAAGGUGGUCUACGCGUUGGUGUUCUUCUUCAAGGAAAGGAUAUCCAAGACGACAACAAGACACUUCGUCAAGCUGGGAUAUGCCAUGAUAAAAAACUAAAUAACAUAGACUUUACGCUGGAAUGUGAAGGUGGGCAAGAUUCUCCCUCUGGAGUCGUAAAACCUGAACAGAUGGAUUUGCUCAGUGCAGAUGUUGUGGAGCCAUUAGCUAGGUAGGUGAUGAUACAGUUGUCUCUUAGGAGUAAUGAUUGAAAAAUAUCGUCAGGAUGCAGCUUAAAUAUUCCAUGAUUUUUCAGGAUGAAGUGUGAAGAGCAUUUUCCUGAAACUGUCGGCGAUGACAACCAGCAGCGCACACCUCCUUAUCGAAGCCGCUCUCUCUCCGAUCUGUAUUCUGUUGUUCAUCCUGUUGAGAUGGCCUCACAAGAUACAUCAACAAGCUCCCAAGCCAUCGUCCCUGUUGCACCUUCAGACGAUGGUGCCCUAGCCAUUGUGCCUCUUUGUAGUGUCAGGCGGUCUGAAACUGGGCAAAGGCGCACUAGGAUGCCCUUCACUGUUGAUGAGGUUGCGGCACUGGUGGAAGCAGUCGAACUGAUCGGGACUGGAAGGUCUGUGUCCAAUAAAUUUGUUUUCAGUUCAUGCAACCUGUUGCCUCAUGUGUGCCUCUUAAUCUUGUUUUUCAGGUGGAGAGCUGUUAAAAUGCAUGCAUUCGAACAUGUGGAGCACAGGACAUAUGUUGACCUUAAGGUGAUUUUCUUAGACACAAUCUCGCCUUUGUGUACAGUUAAUUUUGUGCUGCCAGCCUGCCAAUCAGAAGAUCCACAAAAUCAGCCAUCAGUACAGUUUCCUUAUGUUGGAUUUCAAUGCCGUGCUGGUGAUCUUAUGUUCCGAACUAGCUACCUCUCAUUUCUCUCUGUUUAGUGGAUCACACGAAAUCUGCAGCUCUCUAACAUACUGUGAAAUACUGAUUGUUGAACCAGGACAAGUGGAAGACCCUGGUUCACACCGCAAGUAUAUCCCCGCAACAACGAAGAGGCGAGCCAGUUCCACAAGAACUCCUGGACCGUGUGCUCGCAGCACAGGCCUACUGGUCCGAGCACCCAAAGAUCCGUGGCAAGGCUCCUCUUCCUGCGAUAUGCUCUGCCUAGAAAGGAGGGGGGGCGAGCUGGUCCUUGUGUAAAUACUGUGCCUAAUAGAAACGAUGUAGAAGUGGUGUCCAAAGAAAUCAGACUAAUUUGUGUGCCAUUGCAAGCUUACAACAUUGGUUUUGUUUCCAUCCUCCGUUCUUUGGUCGCUGUCGAAGCCAGGGGUUAUGUCUCCUCUAUGGUUAAAUAAGGGAGAGAGAGCCUUGUUUGGCACUUGUAAAUGAUGUCACAAACUGCUGCUAUGUUUCAUAAAGAAAACCGUCGACUUGUCGCUGUUGUUCUUCACCCAUGGGCCAUGGCUGAAUUGGUAUGUUCAGACGUUCAGUACUGGACGAGUCCACUCAAAGGUUAAGAAAGAUUUGGCUACCUCCCUGAUACUCCUCAGCUUGCAUAAAAUUGCAGUGCUUGGUGAGGAUGCUGAAUGCUUCGUGCUCAGGUGCUGUCAGUAGUUACCUUCAGUUUGUAAACGCGUGGCCUGAGAUUCGGAUAUUCAGUAAAUUAUUUCGACGUGAGAGCUGUACUUGCUGGUUGAGCUCGCAGAGUAAAUUAUAAACCAUUGCCUGCAGAGUAAAAAUUACCGGAGGCUCCCUCAUACGCUCAUCUCCUCCCAACAUAUGUGGACUGCCGAGUGCCGACGAUCCGACGUUACAUGCCUGUCUGCCAUCAGUCACCUCUCACCUAGGUCGGCAGUAACAUACUCUGAAUGUUAUAGUACCGCCACAAAUCCCAAGAUGGAUGCGUAGACGCUCAAAAAGUAGAUGCGAGGAUAUCAUCGUGCAACUACCGUUAACUACUCCCUCGAUCCUAGAUUACUAUUCAUUUUAGAUUUACCAGGUACGUAAUUUUCUUAUACGUCUAAAUACAUAUUAUAUAUAGUAUAUAUAUGUAGAUACAUAUUAUGUAUAGUAUAUAGAUAUGUAGCAAAAAUUAUAUCCCUAUAAAAAUUUUAUAAUUUGAAACGGAGGGAGUAUUGUUUAUACUAUUUGGGUGCUGCUACCUGCUACUCCGUACACGCAGGGAUGGAUCCAGGGCCCGGGCUACCCUGGCUGCAGCCCGGGGCGAGCCCAUGUAGUCCCUUUAACAUAUGUGGUAUUUAGCCUAAUAAAAGGAGGUUUAUAAGGCAAGAUUCGACUGUUUUGGUGCUGAUUCAGCAACUUAGCCCGGGGUGCAGCUCCGUUUUGGAUCCGCCCCUGCGUACACGUACACAGUAUAUUUGAAGCAUAUUUGUAGGAUGGCCUACUUAUAUUAACCAACAGUAGCUACGUAACACAUGAAUACUUGAUAAUGUUGUUAAUUUGUUAUAGACUUAUAGUCGAUCGAUACUUAGAUACUCCUUCCGUUCUUUUUUUUUAUUUGACGUGGCUUAGCUCAAACUUGAGCUAACAGCGUCAUAUAAAUCAGAACAGAGGGAGUAUACUAUAAGAAAAACCUUCUAGUUUUGUUUUAAAGCGUGGCGAAGGGGAAAAUAAAAUGUUUUGAUGCGUCAAGAGCAGCAAGUGGUGACUCGGAUGUCAAAGAAGCUUACAAGUACUGGAGUAGAAAAAUAGCCCAGCCCACCCUGCUGCCGCGACAAGUCACUGUCACAGGGCCCAAACGACGUGUUUUAGCCCCACCUGCCAUCCAACCAACGCCCCACCUCCAAACCCGCACGAAUCCGUUGACCCCUCCUCCUCCUCAGUCAUAGACCCCGCCCCGCUCACAUACCACUCGCGCAUUCGCGUCCUCCACCCAGCCCCCGAGCCACGGAAACCGCCGCCUCCCCACAACGCGACGCGGCUCUGCUGUGCUCUCUCGAUGGACGACGCGAGCCAGACCUGGCCGCCCCCGGCCCCCUCGCCGCCGCCCUUCUCCUCGCGGCCCCGCGCGUCUCCGUCCCCGCACCGCCGCCGCCGGCGCCGCCACUACUCCAAGAAGCACGCGCCCCCGCCCGCGCCACCGACACCGCCACCGACGCCGGCGCCGCAGGGCGCGGACUUCUCCGCGCUCCCGCCGGAGCUCGUCCACCGGGCGCUCGCGGCCGCGUGCGCCUCCGACGUUGCGGCGGCCAGCCGGGCGUGCCGCGCGUGGCGGGACGCGCUGCGGCCGCUCCGCGAGGCCGCGGCGCUGCACGCGUACGGCCGGCGCGUCAAGCACGGCCCCGUCGCGGGAGCCGCAGCCCGCGGGGGCGGCGGGCUGCACGAGGCGGAGCGGCAGCGCGCGCUGGGGCUGUUCCGGCGGGCGGCGAGGCUGGGCUCCGCGGCGGCGAUGGUGGACGCCGGCCUGAUGUGCUGGGAAGAGGGCCGGCGGCGGGAGGCCGUGGAGUACUACCGGAGCGCGGCGGAGCUGGGGCAUCCCGUCGGGAUGUGCAACCUGGGGGUCUCCUACCUCGAAGGUAUCGUGGAUUUGGCUUCCGGGGCAGUUAGCUAUCCCCUUGGAGUUUUGUUCUAGGUGGUUGUAGAAAGAUUCGGAAUUCAGGACGGAUUAGGCUUGUUUCCAAUUCUCUUAUAUUCCAUGCGCAUUAUUAGUUUUGUUCCCAGCGCAAUUAGAAUCAUUCAAUAUUUUAGGGGAAGCUUUGGCUGUGCUCUGUGCCCUUUGUCUCUUGCCAUUCAUUUAGUAAACUUUAGUGUGUUUAUUUAGGUCCUACUCUAAACUUUGCAAAGUAAUAAAGAAUCAACCAAUACUUGAUCAGAUUACUCAAGCUUGUUAUUCGUUUGGUAGCAACCACUCCUCUUGUUUGUCUCAAGCAUCAGACCUGAUAUCGCUGCCAAUAAUUCUGCAGCUGAUCCACACAAGGCUGAGGAAGCCAUCCGAUGGUUUUAUCCAUCAGCAUCAGCGGGCAAUGCUCGUGCUCAAUACAACCUAGGCCUUUGCUUGCAGAAUGGGAAAGGGAUCAAGCGUAAUCAGAAGGAAGCUGUAAGAUACCUCUGAUAUGUUGCACACCUGCAGUUCGAAUAAUUUUCCUAUAAAAGAAAUAUUCUGGUUCUCUAAUUGUGCUCAAUUCUCGAACCACGUAUGCAAUCCAUUGUUACAGUAUCCUGAUGCACACAUAUCUUACAAACUAGGUUAGGUCUUGACAACCUCUAUUAUUAAACAACUGUUUACAUUGUGUUCUGAUGAUGCUGGGGUUACCAGACUCCGUUGAAGUUCUUUAAUAACUAAACUGAGAGAAAUUAGCUGUUUAUCUUGUUUGGAUUUCACCCUACCAAGGUAAUCAGAAUUAUAUCUGACGGUUAUAGAUACCUGGGUACCCUCAUGGAGGGCGCAGCCGAUCACUAAUGGGCCGGCCCGACUUGAUGAAGAAAGCAGAAGAUAGAGUCCGGCUAGGGCUCGCCACGUAUUGUAAUCCGACUAGAUCCCAUCUAUAGUAACCGACUAGGGGACUUGCCAUGUAACCCUACCCCUCGGAGUAUAUAAGGGGAGGUAGGGGUACCCCUUUGAGGACAUCCAAUCCCACCAUACGAACCCUAAACACCCGAGCGCAGGGCGCAAUACAAUCCUCCAAACAGGACGUAGGGUAUUACGCUACACUGGCGGCCUAAACCUGUAUAAAUCUCUGUGUUUUGUGCUUUGCGUUACCAUCAAGUUCAUGGUCUUGCGAUCCUCUCUGCCUACAAAUCAACCAUCUGGGUACCCCCUAGGUGGACUGCCGGUCACUAAAUCCGACAAUAUCACCAGGAUCAAGCAUGAUAUACUGUAACCACUAACCAGCAGAUACCAGAUUAGCAGCAGGCUCCUCUCAUCUUCUUUGUAGAAUUGUAGUACUCUAGGUGUAUAUACUAUGUACUUGUUUGGCUAUGUUUUGUAAAGCUGAGAUGAGCUUAUUAAUGCAGGCAAAGUGGUACUUGCGAGCUGCAGAGGGAGGGAAUGUACGAGCCAUGUACAACAUUUCCCUGUGUUAUAGUUACGGUGAAGGGCUUGCACAGGAUCCAGUGCGCGCUAAGAGGUGGCUGCAACUAGCUGCUGAUUGUGGUCACAAGAAAGCUCUUUAUGAGUGUGGUAUUAAACUCUGUGCGGUAUGUCAUUGCUUCUCUCUUUCUGAUGGGAAUGCCAAGUAUGGAUUCAUUUGCCUCAAAAAAUAAUUAACAUAAUAGCAUACUUCUGUUUUAGAACUGUUCUUUUCUCUAGAAAUAUUGUGUUCCAUCUUUCCUCCACUAUAUUGCUGCAUCCCAGUCUGUAAAUAUUGCCCACACAAGGUGAGGAUGUAACGCUUGAUCUCUUGGGGUUGGAAACGCUCCUAGGAGCUGCUAUGGAGCACUGCAGUAUGUUGGCAUUGACUUGCUAUGUCUUAAGUUGCAAAAGAAUACUCUACAUAGGUCAAGUGAAAAGCAGCACUGCAGUAUGUUGGCAUUGACUUGCUAUGUCUUAAGUUGCAAAAGAAUACUGUAAAAAGGUCAAGUGAAAAGCAGCACUGCAGCUGUACCUAAUUCCUGUAGAGAAAGUUAGAUUCUGGGUGGAUUCAGGCAAUGUGAAUGGCCUAAACAUAGAUGUUAACUAAUUAGCUAGUAACUACACCCCAUACUGGUGUAAAAAGAUGAUAAUAGGUUUUAUGUUUGCAUUACGUAGGAAGUUAGGAACUCACACCAGUUGCUAUUACUGUUUUUGCAAUUUUGCUUCCUCAAUGUCAAGAGAACAUCCAUGCAUUUACCUGUGACUCAGUGGCAUCCAUUUUUUAUGAUGAUGUCUCUCUUAUAUGCAGGCAGGAGACAAGGUCAAGUCUCUCACGUAUCUGGAGUUGGCAACACGGCGUGGAGAAACCGCGGCUGCUCAUAUGAGAGACGUAAUACUGGAAUCACUCUCUGCUGUGAACUCACAGCGUGCCCUAUCAGAUGCUGAUAAAUGGAAACCUAGGGCACUCCAUCCCAGAAGGUGAGGAAAUGGACCGCACGAAAAUGCCAACAACCAUAUCAUCCAGACGGCCAUUGCCCAUGUCGUUUGUAACCAGAACUGAAGCACGCCACGGAAGGGUGAAGCAAGCAUGUAUGCUUUUGCAGCAUCUUGAGGUGUUACCUCGCUGUAGCCAUUCCUUCUGUACAAAGCCGCCCAUCACAGAUAACAACACGAGAAGUUGCAAAGAAUUUCCCUUGGCAAUAGUUAUGAAAGAGAUGCAGUGUUGCAAUACGAAACUGUACAGCUCAAGUUGCUGGUUUCAUCAGUUUAUAGCUGACGCCUGGAGGCUGGACGUUUGUGUGUUUGUUGUACAGAAAUUUUGUCCAUAAAAAAAAGACGGAAAUCUUUGGACAUAGGCCAAAUGUGUGAAUGCUGUAUCGCUGUUGCAAUUAAAAGAAAUGAUGAACUCUUCUGGUGAUUGAUAUGAUGCCUGAAGAUGAGGGCCCCUAAACCGUAUGUGAUGUAUAGCCACCACAAAGGAGAUGGCAUUAUUAAUCUUUUCUGUCGGAGAAAAGUAUCUUUCAUCUAUUUUCCAUGUAUGUAUAAUGUAUGACUGGAUUUGACUUUAGUUGGUGCCUGAUGCCCUGAUACCUUCCCUUAGAAAAUGAUUUCAUCAGCUGGUCUCUUCUGGGUUUGCAUGUUCAGAGUUCAGUUCUCUGAAUUCCUGUAGCUCAACUGCUGAAACAAAAGCAAAGCCGCAGACAGCAACAGGCCAUUCCCUGUCCCGUCCGGCCGUCCCAGCAAGCGGCCGUGCGCGCAAGGAAGGCGGCUAAUGGGCCUCGCUACCUUGCAGGCAAUCCAGGCCGCACAAGUCCAAACCAACCAACGGACAGGAGAUGCCCGGGGUGGACGGUAUUUCAUUUACCGUCCGCCCCGCGGACGGUAGACGAAACACCGUCCAGUCCGCAUCCCACUCCCGACACCUCUUCCGCGCCGCCCUCCGCCGGGCUACCGUCGGAAUGGGAAAGGGGGAGCGCGGGCUGUAGCCCCCCGACAGCCCGCACCCGGACGCCGCCGCGACGUGCCUCCCCACCGCGCAUUCCCCCGAGGGUUCCUCCCCGGUCUCCAUCGUGCGGACCAGCUUCCCAUCGAGGUCGAGGAGGUGCUGAAGCCUCAAGGACUUCCGGACUUCCUCUUCCUCAGAGCUACGGCAACGCCUCCAACUUCAAGGUGCUCAGACGUUAGCAUCCUGGACGUAUGUAAUGCGCCCCUCUCCUGAUGAUCCAUCCCGUUUGAUCCCACCUCUGUGUUUACUGAUUCCACGUAGUGAAGUUGGAGGACAAUUUGAUUUCGUGUCAAAACAGAUAAAUAAGCUGCAGAGCGCACUAUCUAGGAUUUGGUAGUAAUUCAUGGUCGAUUGCGAUAUGUUUGGCCAAUGUUGGGGAUUAUUUACUGGAUUGCUGGAUGUGGAAGUAGCAGAGAAUUUGCCUGCCUGCUUGCGAUAUGCCGCCCCGAACCCCCCCCCCCCCCCCCCCCCCCCCCCCCCCGUCGUCUCGGGUUCAUCAUUCAAGUGAGCUUUUCUGAACCUGCUAGCUCGGCACUGAGCUUCAACACACAUGUGCAUGUUGUUAUUUAAGAAUGCAAAGUAUUUUCUGAAACCUUGGGUUUUGGUUCUGCUGGCAUUUGUUGACCACAUUUCCUUCACAAUUCAUAGACUGGUCAGAAAACUCUGUGACUUAGUUAUUGAAGAAAUUGGUUUGAAUUCCAUUUUGUUGAUGAUUUGCAUUUACAAGGUCUAGAUAGACAUGAAUCGGCUUGACUACCUGCUGACAUUUGAUACUUGCAACCUUUCUGUAAUUUCAAUUAUGUUGCAGUCACACUUGUAACUGCAGGUGUUAUUCUUAGGGAGUUUGCAGAGGAUGCUUAUUGCAAUGCCCUGAAGGAUAGUGAGAAGCCAGUUGUUUAUGAUAAUCUUGUAAGUUGGUACUUGCCUCCUAUCAACCUGCAGUUUUUUUUUCAUCGUCUAUGCUUAAAAAGACAAUUAAAGAAGUUAUGACUGCAUUUAAAUAAGAGUGGGAGGAAUAUGCAAAACAUACAACAGUACACAGAAAACCCCCCGAGUGGUGAAACACAAAUUCCUUGAUGUGUUAAAUUAAACAUCUGGUCGACAGCCUCCUGGAACGCAUCCUUGGUGAUGAAGUUGUCGUCACCUAUGGCUGCUGGGAAGUGGUGGGUUUAGCGGCGCGCAGGGGAAUUUGGGAAGGUGGAAGAGGCGGCAGCCAAAGCCAAGAAUGUCCCACCUCAUACCAGAGAUGUUAACUCUAUUCGGCUGGCUGCUUUGCAGCUGGCUGCUGCUGCUCGGCAGAGAGCAAGCAGCUGCAGCAGCACGCACCAGCAGGCAGCAGCAGCCGCCGCCAUGCACCAGCCGAACAGCGCCGUUAUGGCUAGAUUACUGAUAAUAGAUAUAGCUCGAGGUAGAUGGAUAUUUCACCCUCACGCUGGAGGCUCUGAGAUUAAUUCCUCUACUUCUUGCUUGAGUGCAGUUAUGCAGCCGGGACUCUUAUAUAAUGAGUCGGCCCUAACAAACCUUCCAACUAAUUUCCAAGUAUAUCUCUAAACUGAAUCUAAACCAAACUACUUUUAACUAAAUGGACUCUUAUUCCUGCGCCUGAACUUCUUGCCAAAGAAGUUGUCCAUAACACAAAUAGAUAAGCUGAUAGAGAAAAUCACAAAGAACUGAGCAGUAGUCUAUGGUGAUAAUUACUCAUAUUUUCUUUUUAACUGGCAAGUGACAAGUGUACCGUGUAGCACUGCUCAUUGCAGAUUUUCAGCCAUCAACAUGUUAGUUUGACCGAUUUUUUUUUAUCAUGCUCUGAUAGCAUGAAGCAAAUAAUUCAAUUGUACAAGGCCGAAGCACUUUGUUUAAUCCCUACAAUUCAUGAAUUUGAUUGCUUAACUCAGCAUCAUGCUACAACCUUGUACACAUGUUGGCAAAAUUUCAUUUCUGGGUUUUUUCCUUCUUUUAGUUCCUACUUCCUGCAUCCAAAUAUGUUUGCCUAAUCUGUUUGCAGGCUUCAGUUUGUGGUCUAAGGAGCACCCGAUUGAUUUGCGACACUUGUAGGGCUAGGCAGUUUGCUUUACCCGGUAUGGCUCUUGAAAUGGAGACGAUGUGGCACUGUCAAUCUUUGUUGUUCUUAUAACGUUGACAAGAUAUUCAGCAUUUGUUAGUGUCGAUCAAGCGUGAGCUACCUUGCAGAUCUGGGGUUCGCGCUCUAUCCAACACCAACUGCGUAAGUAAUAUUGAUAAAAUUACUGUCUACAUGUCCGUCCAUUCGAUACAUGACGACUAAAUGCAUAAUUUGUUUUUCUCAGGUAGCAUAAGCAGUAAAGCAGUAGCAAAUGUUGCUGCACCCACGACAUCCUGACUCCUGAGGCAACUGGAAAUGGCUUCCAAGCCGAUGCAUCUCCACGCUCCCGCCGCCGCGGCCACCUCUGCUGCCACCGUGCUCUCCAUCCUCCGCGGGGCUGACCCUGACCGCCUCCUCCCAGCAGCCGGCAUCGCCGCAACGCCCACCAUACUCCAGCACCUCCGCCCCGCGCUCCCCACCCUCCCCGACCCCGCGAUCCCCGCCCUUGCCCGAUGGGCCGGCGCCGCCACCGCCGUCUCCCUCCUCGCCUCCCGCGGCCUCUUCGCCGCCGCCUGGCGCCUCCUCCUGGUUAAGCCUCCUUCCUCCCCGCCGCCUCCCCUCGCCGCGUUCGCAUCGCUCCUCCGCCGCUACGCGCGCCUCGGGCGCACCGCCGCCGCAGUCCGCGCCUUCCGCUUCCUGCACGGCCACCCCGACCGCUACACCGUCGCUAUCGAUGGCAAUGGCGAUGAUGGCUCCUCGUCUGCCGCAGAGGUCUCCCCGCUGAUCCUGGCCGUCGACGCGCUCUGCAAGGAGGGCCACCCGCGUGCCGCGGCGCAGCUCGUCGAGCAGCUCCGGCGCGAGGACCCUGCGUGGGCGCCCGACGUGCGGACCUACAACGUCCUGCUCAACGGAUGGUCCCGCGCGCGCCGGCUCGACAAGGUGGAGAAGCUCUGGGCGGCGAUGCGCCACGCCGGCGUGCGGCCGACGGUGGUCACGUAUGGGACCCUCAUCGGCGCGCACUGCGUCAUGCGGCAGCCCGACCAGGCGAUGGCGCUCCUUGACCAGAUGCGGGAGGAGGGGAUCGAGGCCGAUCUGCUCACCUGCAACCCCAUCGUGUGUGCCCUCGCACAGGCAGGUCGCUUCGGGGACGCACACAAGGUGCUCGAGAAAUUUCCCCUCUACGGUGUCGCGCCGAACAUCUCGACAUUCAACUCCCUCGUCUUGGGCUACUGCAAGCAUGGCGACCUUGCUGGGGCUAGUAGAGUACUCAAGGCGAUGCUGGGGCGGGGCAUUUCACCAACUGCAAGGACAUACAACUACUUCUUUAUGGUCUUUGCGAGGAAUCACAGUGUUGAGCUGGGGAUGAAUCUCUACAGCAAGAUGGUCAGCAAUGACUAUGCGCCGGACCGUCUCACUUACCACCUUCUCGUCAAGAUGUUCUGCGAAGCGAACCGGCUUGAAUUAACACUGCAAAUGCUCCAGGAGAUGAGAAACAGUGGUUUUGAGGCGGAUCUUGCGACCAGCACCAUGCUGAUACAUUUGCUCUGCCGGCGUCAUCAGUUUGAAGAGGCGUUUGCGGAGUUUGAGCAUAUGUUUGAGAGAGGGAUUGUGCCCCAGUACAUCACUUACCGGAUGCUUAAGAAAGAGCUCAAGCGGCUUGGUUUAGUCAAAUUGGUUCAGAAAUUGACAGAUCUAAUGCGUGCAGUACCACAUUCCACAAAGUUACCUGGCAGUUACAGGGACAAGGAAGGAGAUGAUGCUAUAGAGAAGAAGAAAUCAAUAUUACAGAAAGCACAGGCUGUUUCAGAUGUUUUGAAGGACCGUAAAGAUCUGAAGAAAGGACACAAGAUCCAAAAUCCUGAAGAAACUGAUGUCCAGGUUGCAGAUAGGAUUGUAGCCAACAUUAGGAGAAGAGUAUAUGGAGACGUCUCUAGGAUAGGAGCAUCUCUUUCUUGAACAUUGAUUUGCAUUGUGUACACUCAUAAGUAUUAAUCGCAUGAUGAUGGGUUUAGCAGUCGGCUGCAUUGUUCAUCAUAAAAUAUGAUCAGCUAAGCAGUUCUUACAUGCUUCGGGAUCUCAAUGAAGGUAAUAGUAACGCACAUCAAUUGAUUGAUUAUUGUUUCCCUACGGUGUGGAUGUCCUCCCUCAUCUGAUUGCUGUAGAGAGUCACCGUGACAAGUUUCAGCUAAUGGCAAAUUUCUGACUAUGCUGUUACUCAGGCUUAUUUGGUUUGAGCCCAAACCCAACGAAACUUUUGGCAUGAUCAAGAUUAGGCCAUGGACAAAAUACUGAUAAUAUGAGGAUGUUUGGUUUGCUGCACUAGCAAUAGUAAAAAUGAUUGCCGGAUUUAGGGUCCUGCUUUGUAGAUUAAUGAAUGAAUAUAAUGGUUAAACAAAGUAACACACAAAUCACAUGUACUUUUUAUUUGGCAAAUUCCUCUAGGCUAGAAAGCAAACAUAACCAAGACAUAAAAAAUGAUUCUAUUCAGAACAUAGCUACCGACCAAGAUAGGUUGCUGGUUGCCGGGUAGCAAAGCCGAACAUAAAAGGUGUGAAGUCAAGAACAAGGAGCAAAGCAAGGUAUGUUAAGUGCCCGAUGACAUCUUUUACUGACAGGAGGUGGCACUGAUUUCUGGAUCUAUCACAUAGUUAUGGAACCCACAUGGCCACAUUGAUCUGGGAGUAAUGCAUCAUUUCAUGUCUGUUUUCCUUGCUACCCAGAGUUUCUAUCCACGGAUGGCUCUAAAUACGCAAACAUGCUCCCACACCGCGCUGUUGUACAACAAAAGGAAAGACAUGAUUAUCCUGUUUGGUUACCACCUCCUAAUUAAAAGGUGACUAGUUUGUCAGAGUGAUUAAAAAAGGAUUAAAAACUUUAGGAGGUUCAAAACUCUUUCAUCCUCCCACCCCUCCUAAAAUCUCCUAAAACCAACUUUUGAUGCGCACUGCUCCCGCACCCUCCCCCGACCGCACCCACCCCCGACCGUUCCCACCUCGUCCUCUCCCAACCCGCCGCCACCGCCGCUCGAUCCAUCCACCACGCCGGCGGCGGUGCCCACCAUUGUCGGCCGCGCCCUUCCCCGCCGGAUCCGCCGCCCCCAAGACCUCCCACCCUCGCCGGCAGACCCAUAGGCUCCCUCGCUGGUUCCUACGCUACCCCAACAAUUGUCGCUGCUCGAGCCCUCAUUCACGUCGGCGGCCGCGCCCAACCACCAGCGGCCGCACCCUCCCCCGCCGGAUUCGCCGCCCCCAAGGCCUCCCACCCCCACCGGCAGACCCCGCGCCCUUCCCCGACCGUCCCUGCGCCCUCCUUCGCCGGAUCCGCCGCCCCUUCGCAUCUAAACCCGGCCGGCGCUCCUUGACUCCUCCCUGCUAAAACUGGCCGCCGCUCCAUCACUCCUCCGUGCCCAACCCGCCCGCCGCUCCUUCACGCCCAACCCGACCGCUGCUCCUCUGCCCCCAACCCGCCCGCCUGGAGCGAAGCAGGUGAUUGGCACCACCGGAAAAUAGCGCCAGGAAGAAGAUGGGAGGGGCAUCUGGUGGGAGGGCCACCACCGGAAAAUAGCGCCAGGAAGAAGAUGGGAGGGGCAUCUGGUGGGAGGGCAGCAUGGUCCUUUUUUCACAGUAUUUAUUGUCUUUAGUCAGUUUUAGUCACUAGAACCAAAUAACCUUUAGUCCAUGAACUAAAGUGGGACUAAAACUAAAACUUUAGUCCCAUUGUCCAUGAACCAAACAGGACCUAAGACUGCAAACUCAAAUCUGAAUCGAAUUUGAACAGGAGCAGUGCCUUUUGUUCUCAUUGGUCCUGUUUUGACUAGCAUACAUCACAAAGUAUGGGGACAGAGGAAACCACUGAACUCAAGGACCACGAGCUGGUCAACGUGGGCCAAAAUGUCCUUCGUGUGUGGAUCAACCAAGAUUUGUGGUUUUGGGACCAGGUUCACUGCAGAGUCGGACUUGAGGUGUGAGGAGAAAGAGAACCCAGAUCAGACAAGAUUUGUUAUCCUGCUGUGCUGAAGCACAUGGUAGGUUGCCUUGGGUUGAAGCCAGAGAGGCAGAGACCUGUGUCAGUCUCAAAUUCACACAGUCACUCACAUGCAUGGAGCAUGACCAUCCCAGCAAGCAAGCAGUGUCACCUACUCUACUCAACAAGGCAAUCAAGCUGGCAUAGUGGCAUCUCCUUUUUCUUAUAAACCAGCUCGCUACCCCUCCCUCUGCAGAGUUGGCCUUCGCAAGCAACCAAUCUGAUCGGACUCUCUUCUCGUCUUGUUGGCCUUCGCAAGCUCCCAGCUCCAGCUUGGUGCCUAGCCUGCCGCGGAGCAAGAUGGGCAGAGGAGCUCAGCCGUCUGCGUCGCUCCUGCUCUUCUCUCUGGGUCUUGUGCUCCUCUGCUUCACCGCAGGUUAGCCCAUGUUCAUUUUUACUAGUAGAUGAUCCAGCACCGAUUGUUCUUCUUCAACUAGCUCCUAGUUCUUCUAGCUGAUGGUUUUGUCUGAGAUUUCCCCCCCUCGGUUCUUGGAUCUCUGAAACUGAAACCCACUUUCUGCAAGACCUUUUUCCUCCUCCUUUUCUUACCAGAAAUUAAUAGGAAAAAAGUUUCAUGUCCUAUAACUAUAAUGCUGUGGGCAACUAGUUCAUCUAGAUUUAGACUGAAAAGGGUAUGCCGUUUGAGACUUUCUGUAGCGUGUCGGCGCCAUCCUGGCCGGUGCCUGGCCAGCGAGGAGAGAUGCCGUUGGUUGGUCCUGGUUGAUAGCCAAGAUCUACCUGACCUUGCCUGCUGAUUUUGCUUCGCAGGCGGUAUCGUCGGCGUCGCGGCGGCGCAGAAGACGUGGUGCAUCGCCAAGCCGUCGGCGUCGAACGAGAUCCUGGCGCAGAACCUCGACUACGCGUGCUCCCAGGUGAGCUGCGCCGUGAUCCAGAAGGGCGGGCCGUGCUACUACCCGGACAGCCUCGUCUCCCGCGCCGCCGUCGCCAUGAACCUCUACUACGCCUACAGCGGCCGACACCCCUGGAACUGCUACUUCAACAGCUCCGCGCUCGUCGUCCAGUCCGACCCCAGUAAGUCACUGAUGAACUGAUCCGGUUCCUUUGGGGCUCCGCGAGCUCUGAGAUGGUGAUAAUCUUAAUCCGUGUGUUAUCUGAUACCUGAAUGUCACGUUUUCUUUGCAGGUUAUGGAUCUUGCACGUACUACUGAGACAGAGAUCGCCGCCGGGGUUGCGGAGGCCGUGCAAGCUGAACCACCAUUGAUGCGGCUGAGAGCUCCAGCGUGCCCUCUUUGCUGAUACCACCGUUGUGCCAUUGUUUGUUGUUGAGGAACUGAUGAGGAACGGGAGCAGAUGCAGAUUGCUGUGUUGUGUCGUGUCUAGUAAACUGUGAUGCAGUUGACCUUUCGAGAUCUUCGAACAACUCAUUGAUACAUUUUUAAUUUUAAUUAACUCGAAGUUGUCACUUCAAAUUUCAAACAUCUGAGUCGAUCGGUUCGCGCAUGAUUUGUUGACUCCAGCGGCCGUCCAGGCAAGCAAACAAACAAACGGUUCAUUCCAAUCUGGCAAUUUCCAAUCCAAUCUCCACUCGCGUGACCUACCCGACCGCUGGCGGCAAAGGACCGACCCAGACCCACGGCGCGGCGGCGCCCCGCCUCCAGUCCCCGGCGACGGCACGAUGCGGCGGCGGCCCUUCUCCCGGCACGACGGCUUCUUCGCCUCCCUCCAGCGGGUGGGUAACCCAAACGGACCCCCAAGCCGUUCUCACCUUCUCUUCUCUUCUUCAAUCGCACACGAGCUGUCCUCCCUCCUCUCUGACGCCGAGAGCUCUCGUCCCCUGCUCCUCAGGUGGAAGACCGGCUGGCCGCGGAGCAGCAUCAGGAGCAGAGGCAGGACCCGCCGCCGCCGCCGCCGGCGGCUCCGGCGACGGCAACGGCACGCCAACCCGACGCGUCGCCGUUCUCGGACACCAUGACGACCGCGUCCCCGCUCCUCCUCCUCGACCCGGCACCGCCCAGCGCGCCCGCGAGCCGCGACAGCAGCGGCCCGGCGCUGGACUUCCUCACCGCCCACACCGAACAGGACCAACGCAUCCAACAGGACGACGGCGGCGGCGGCGGCGGUGUCGUCGAGGAGGACAUCGCUUGGCUCAUGGCGCUGCUGGGCCUGUCGCCGCCGCCACCGCCGGACGGCGACGGCGACGACGGCACGGGCGGGUGCGACUGCAGCGGCGCCGACGGGUUCCUGGCCAGGGUCGUCGGCGUGGCCGGCCCCAAGUGCGACGGGGAGAAGCGGAGGCUGGACGCCUGGAUCCGCCACUACAACCGCGGGGGAGGCGGCGGGUGCAGCCGGGAGCCCGCGAGGCUGGCGCACCUGCUGCUCGCCAGGGCCUCCAGCGACGCGGCGGCCGUUGCGUCCCCGGCCACCGUCAAGGAGUUCCUGGACCGCGAUCCGCCGCGGCAGACGACGGAUUAGACAGCGCGCCGCAGCCGCAGAGUCGCAGGCGUGGCAUUGCAUUUCUGAAAGCAUUGCAGAGGCAAUCACCGGAUGCACCUAAAAUAUUGUUUACUUCGCGAAUUUGGGAGGUGCCAAAUUACUGUAGCAACACUGUAGCGUUUUGUUUGUAUUUGUGAAUUAUUGUUCAAAUAUUGACUAAUUAGGCUCAAAAGAUUCGUCUCGCAAAGUACAACAAAACUGUGCAAAUAGUUUUUGAUUUCGUCUACAUUUAGUACUCCAUGCAUGUACCGCAAGUUUGAUGUGAUGGGGAAUCUUCUUUUUGCAUAGUGUCAAAGUUGGGAGUUUGGAGGUAAGAGAACAAGGGCGAAAAUUGGAUGCGUGCCGUUAGAACAUCCAAACUAAGUUGUUUUUUUGUCCGUGGGAUAUCAUCAAAACUUGGAUUUGUGCAGCACACAAUGCACUCUUCGAGAGGUUGCCUGGUAAAUGAACGAUUUUGCCCUCGCUUCGUUUUGUGGUUGCAGUGCAGCGGUCGCUUUGCUUCCUCGGCAUUUUCUGGUCUGGUCCGUCCGCGGGCAUCCUAGUUCCUAGCCAGCUGCUGUGAUCCACCGCACCGGGCCCGUGCAGUCCGGCACGCGCAGUGACUACCACUGACGCGUGGGCCAUCCGAGCGCUGGGCCCACGCGUCAGUGGCAGUCACUGCAAUGCAGUACUGCACCAGAGCAGGGUAUUUCCCCGGCCGUUUUCCUGUUUCUUGCCACCCGCACCGUUGCUCGUCCCCGACGACCUCCAGCACCGGCGCCCCCGUCGCCCGGCCCCGACCUCCAGAGAGGGUGUUGCCAGAGCCCACGGGCCUUCCUGCAGCAGCCGCCGUCGGACGCCACGGCCGUCCGAGCUGCGUCCCGUCGUCGAUGGCAUGGUGGGGGAGAAUUGUGAGCAGAGAAGGCGAGCGCGUCAAUUGAUUGGGAACUCACAUGCAAAGGCGUGUGGGUUCGGCAUCUUCGUCCCCGCCAACAAGGAGGCUGCGGACGGUGCAUUGGGGAGGUCCAUGGAGGGGGAAGAGACAGUGAGGGCUGACAGGUGGGACCUGCACCAAGGGUAUUUUGGUCCUCUUGCCGGACACUCCCUCCUUCCCGGCCAAAAAAAUAAUUUUUUAAUAUGUACAAUGUGCUGUAGGAAAAUAUAUGAUUUCACGGUAUUCCAUAGACUCAAUCGAAGAGCAGAAUAUGCUCCCCACAAAACCAUUAGACAAAAAAUCCAAUUAAGUUUUGAUGUAUUUUAACGCUAAUUCUUGGUAGGACGUCCGAUGUCCCAACAAAAAAUCGGACACUCCAAUCCCAGCAACCAUGUUGCGGUACGAAUUUUUUAUGCUUACUUUUGUUGCGAUAUUUUCCUAAGCGCGGUAUUUGUAGCCUGGUUUGAAUUAUACCUAGACCCACGAACUGUUUGUGAUAGCUGGCAGGUGGUGACAACCUUGUCCGACCUACGUAAUCCACCACGUGAGAGUGACUAGUUUCAUCCGUUUUCGUAGUUGAAGUGUGCAUCCCGACAUAAACAAAGAUCGUUAGAAUAGACUUAUCUCUUGGUUUAUACUUUCAUCCGUUGUUGCUUUACCGUAGAGGUGAUUGAUUGAAGAACAUAAAAGUAUAUAGGAAUUUAUCUCGGUCUCAUUGUCAUCCCGACUAGCUAUGAUGUAGAUAUUUUUUAUCAGAGAGUCCUCAUGUGUCAUGGUUAUCACUACUAUCUAUUGUUACCUCCACUGAGUUGUAGUUCGUUAAGUUGUGGUACAUUCAAAGGAUUUAUUUACCGAUUGUCUACACCAUUAAGUGCUUCCCCAUGAAAAAUAUAAAUAUGAUACUAUGGAAUAAUCCCUGGUGAAAUAUUACAAUGGAUAUUUUGUGUGCUGGUAGAAUUAAUCUUAGAAGCAUAAGAAAUACCAUCAGCCAUGAAUAGAGUCAGGACAUGAAGCCAAAGGUACACUAGUUAUUAUUUAAUAUUUUGAUUCUCUGGUUGCUCAUCUUGAGAAACUCUUAUGGAAAUACCCUUAGCGGUAGUGGCGACCGUGGUUGUGGGACGGUCCAAGCUGAAACAAGAGUUCAAAUUAUGUUCUAUUAUCCAUGUUGCAUAUGCGCGUUUGUUGGAAACAACUUUAUACAUCUAUAUCUUUAAAAUUAUUUGGCCAAAACAUAAUAGUAUUAAAAUAUUCUUUUCUAAAAAGUAAGAUAAAUAGUAUUGGGUACUCACUUCCACAUUUGCUUUGAGGUGGUACGGGCUUCCCACAUCUGCUGCAAGUUUAACAAGUUUGAAGACACUUGCAUGGUCUUGAUCAGGAAUGCUAAGGAUGUGACAAAUACAAACCAUAUCAGAUGUUUGCACAACAAGACAACACUCGAGGGAUGGAGGUUCAUAGUCAAUGCCAAUUCUGAUGGUCUUCUUGCAUGUUUCCAAAACCUUUGUUUUCUCCAUAUGGCAGUCAUCCUCACCCCAAGCAUGAUGUGCUGCAAAUAAGGUAAAAACUAAAGCAAGGACCAAGACUCGAAGGAUUUUGGCCAUCAUAUACUAGUAUGUUGUUGGUGUUACUAGAUAAGUGUUCCCUCUUUGUUAGCCUACAAAUGGUGAAUAAAACUGAUCAUUUUGUAUACCAUGCUUGCACUACACACUUCUAUUUAUAGCAUAUGAGAAGUUAAGUCUCAUUGCAAAUUAAUGUUGGAGAAUCCUUGGAGAGAUAGUACGGUACCAAAAAAUCCAAUCAUAAAGGAAACAAUAAGUCCUUAGAAAUCUAUCCAAUCAUAAAGGAAACAAUAAGUCCUUAGAAAUCUUCGAACCAAUCAAGAACAUUUAUAUAAAAAACUGAAUCACAAAACCAAAAAAUAAAUGUCACGAAGUCUUGAAAUCAAUGUACAAGCAACAUGGAUACAACUCAUUUAGUAUUUUAUCCCUAUCUUAACAAAAUUUCCCAGUAGCCUCCUAAACCUAUAUGGUUGUCUCAUAAAUCCCCAAACUUGUGCACUUUUCAUGUAGUAAAUUAAACUUCUACCUUGUCUAGCCCUCCAAAUUUGCUAUGUUGGUGAUAUGUUCGUUUCAACUAACACGGUUGCCUCUCCUAGCUCUUUGAACACAAACUUUUGAUAUGGAGGCUAUAUAUAUGUUCAUUUCAAUUCUUUCAAUAUUUAAAGAUUAAAUACAAAUCGAUCCCGACUACUUGCACUACUACAAAAAGAUAUACUUUUAGAGGGAUUUUACCUUCGGUUAUGGAACUCAUGGUAGCCGAGUGUAGGUAGAAAUCACAUUGUCAGUGCGAAAUCUGGACGACAAGUGAAUAUUUGUAGUUUUGCCGUGUGUUAGAUCAGAUAUGGCCUAGCACACAAUAACACAGGAUGUAUACUGGUUCGGGCAACGUGCCCUACGUCCAGUCAAGGUCGGUCGACUUUAUUCCUGAGCCCAGAUGCUCAAAGUUUGUAGUAGGGGUACAAAUAAGAGGAGUAUGAGAGGGGGUGCCUGAAUCCUGACCUUGUUCUCGUCUCUGUGGAAGAGAGUGAUAGGAGCUCAGACAGGCGCUAAGUGUAUGUGUGUGCGAAUGUCUAAGAGCACGUCUCUUGUGUCCGUCUAGAAGCGGGGGGGGGGGGGGGGGGGGGUCCGAUCCAUUUUACAGUACAAGGGGACGGUCCUUACAGGUCGGGGGAGGAUAAAGAGUGAGUGUACGGAUGCUGCCUAGUCUUGUCGAAUCCCAUGUUGGUGGACACGGUAUGGCUUCCGUUCUCGAUCCCAGUUCUUCUCGUCAGGCCAUUACGCCAUAGCGGAUAGGUUUACGGCGCCACUAUGCAGACGUGCGCAGGGCGUGGCGUGGUACGACUCCGUGUACGGUCAGCUGACCCGGGCACCGCCUCGUUAUCCGCCCCACCUGCUCCCUGGGCCCACUCCGGGUGGGCAUCCCCGGUCAAGGAGAUCAGUGCAAGUGGUACGGCAAGUCCCCAGUCGGGGGAUUAGGUCGGGAGCACUCAGUCGGGAGUGCUCGGUCGGGAGCACUCAAUCGGGUUCGGAUUGUGGCCCCACCCCCGGCUGGCUCCCUCUAGUCGGGGUGUCGACCAGGCCUCCUGGUCGGAGUAGCCGGUCGGCGGCCGGAUCGUGGUCUCGGCUUGGCUGGGCGUAGCUAGGCCGGCCCAGGUAUACAUUUGUUGUUAUCCCCUUUAUUGGGCUAAGCGUCGCGGGAAAGUAGUCCUGUUAGGGACCUCGAGUCUAUGGACCCGUCACACAUUGAGUAACAUCCCCUCCAAAACCAAUGGUGAAAAUGGAUAUAUACCACAACUGAUAGUUCCAAUUCCAUUUUGUACCAUCAAUUGAAUAAAAAAAUGACAGUAAUAACUGCCCACCAUAUUAAAUUUGAUUAAAUUUUUUAUCAAAUCUCAUAUGUGAUUCAAUUCAUAGGCCUCACAAGUAGCACAUUCAUCAAGAAGUCCAUCCACACAUAAAACAUCAAUGUAAGUUCAACCAUAAAACCUCACCAAUUCAAAUAGUCAUCUACACCUAAACAUCAAUCAUAAAAGUUCAACAUGUGGAGCCAAAAUGGUGUGGCCUCCUAGAUCUUGUUGACGGAAUACUCAUCUUGUUAAGAUCAUACUUGAAUCUCUCAUGAUUUUCUUCACACUUGAAGUUCAAGCAUACGUUUGUUCUUACCCAUCAAUAGCUAUGAAGGUUUUCUUUGAUCUUUUAGUCUGUAAGUGCAAUCAUGAUUUUCUUUAAGAUCAACUCAUAGGAAGGUUUUACAUACUUAUUGUCCUUUCAAUCCGGAAAAUUCUACACGGAAAUAGUUCUUUGCUUUAGUCUACAAAAUUCUUGUUUUGAUGAUUUUAAUAAUUCUUCUUACAUAUCAGCAGGCACAAAGGUUUUCUUGCCGUAUUUCAAUCCCAAGAAUCUAGAAUUCCAUUUCACUAUAGUUCUCCUCAACAUUGCGCAACAUCUCAUUCAAAUGAGUGUGAUGUCUUAGUUUUCCUCUUGCUUGUCCCUCCCACGUAGCAGCUCAAAAUUACUAGAUGUGCCUCCAUAUAUGUGGCAAGCAAGGGUACGAGCCAAGCUACCAUUCUAGAGGAGGCUUGUCAUGGACCUGAGCAUCAAUGGUGGUGUUGCGGCAGCAUCAGCUGGUUUAUCCCGGUGACCAUCAUCGAUCGUGUGACUUAAGGCCAAUCUACAAGUAUGUGCAGACCCACCAGUAAAUCACUCAGACAAAAUGCGUAGUGCUUUUAGUAAAUUAACAUGUAUCCUAGUUAGCAGUUCUAGUCAAUUGCCAGUUUGCCACCUAGAUUUGGAAUCCUAUGUGUCAUUUGUUGUUGGAUGUCACAUUGUGGUUCGUCAUUUGCAGCUUGAUUAGUAUGGAGAGUGGUCGAACGGCUUGGUUGCUGCUUGACAAGAUCAUACUACUGGAAAUGAAAUUUCCCUGUGGGUUACCGACGCCAGUGAAAUAAUGUACAGACAUGAAGACGCCGAAUUUUCCUGGCGGCUGUUAACCGACAGAAAAUAACUAAUCGACAGGGAAACGGAAAACUGACAGGCAAUUUCUCAUUUCCCUGUCGCUGUAUCCUUGUCAGUUAUUCCCUGUCGGUUAACCUGUUAAUCGAUAGGGAAAACGUUUUCGAAUUUUCCUGUCGGGAUUUUGAAUUUCCCUGUCGGUAUUUGCACACACAGGAAAAUUCAAGUUUUAAGAGCCUCAUGCACCUCGUGUGAUGUGAUGUAACGGUGGAGGACACCUUAAGUCAGGCCAACGUCCACGCUGAAACGCAUCAGUGGCGAGAGUAAUCACACAUACUCCCUUCGUCCAAUGGUAGAGAGAAUAAGAAACAAAGAAAAAUAUCUGAAUGGAUCCGGAUUGACUUUUAGCAGGUUGAUCUUGGGUCCUUAGGACAAUACCUGACUCGAUCUUAGAUCUCGUGUACAAAUGAUUAGCACAUUAUCUUGUAUUCCCUGUGUCAAGUGACUUGAGAAUAAGGUGAUCUUCCAUGGAUAUCCCACAAUCGGCAUGCAACGAGAUGAUUCUAGAGCCGACGCGGCAGCCCUAUAUAUUCCAGAAAUCGAAGGCUACUAUUAACCGAUGAUUGCGGAUGUUUGACGUGCUGCCUUUUUACAUAUUGUAACGUUGACAUGUUUGACUGUGCCCCAUCGCGUCUCUUGCCAUCUUGAUACUAUUUAUUUUGGCUUAACUUUUCUAGUUGGACAUACGUUUUACUAGAUAUCUAGACAAACAAAUUAAUUCAUUUUUAACUAAGCAUGUGUUCAGUUUUAGGAUCAAGUGGAAUGGAUCGGCUCCAUCCCACUUUUUGAGGUUGGGUUCAACCCAUCUCAUGUUUGGUUGGGAGGUUGGGUCAGAUCCAGUUUUUUGUUUGGUUGAAGGGUUUAAGAGGGAUGGAAUGGAUAUCAUUUUAACGGUGUUAGCAACAGCUACCAGCGGGCCCCACAUGUCAUUCACCCUUUUAUUUCACUUUUUCCCUCGAGCUCCACCGAGCCGCCGCCGGCCAACACCCGCCCCUGUGCCUCCACCUCCGCUCAGCCCUCACCACCGGCCACCGCCAACCCCUGCCCUGCCACCUUCACCCGGUCGGGCCCCUGCUCCACCACCUCCUCUCGGUCCAGCGCCACUGGCGCCCUCCGCGGGUCCCUGCUCUGCCGCCUCCGCUCGGCCCAGCGCCGGCGGCCUCCGUUGCACCGGCAGCCCUCCCCUGCGCCGGCAGCCUCCGUUGCGCCGGCAGCCCUCCCCUGCGCCGGCGGUCUCCGUACGUCCUACGGACGGACUUGAGACGGAGAUGGACAGGAUGGAAGUGGGUCGAGUGCGUCCCGUCAUUUUGAGCGGACACAAUGAACCCGUAUCUCCACAGUAUAUUCCCUCCUGGGUCCAACCCAACCCAAAUGCAUUUUCAACCAAACGCGGAUCGAUAGGGUCAAACCCGUUCCAACCCAGUUCGACUCCCAAACUAAACACAACCCGAAUAUUAACAGCAUGAUUAGAUAAUGUACACGAAUUGUGUUGCAUUGUCGGGCGAACAGCGUGAAGAAACAAAUUAGCUUGUGUGUGUCUAUAUAUAUACAUAUAUAUAUAUAUAUAUAUAUAUGUAUGUAUGUAUGUAUGUAUGUAUGUAUGUAUGUAUGUAUAUAUAUAUAUGCGCACACACAUACACAUGCACAUGCAUAUUAGGUAGUUAGGGAACUCCCUCCGUUAGGUCGUUUUGGCUUUUCUAAGUGCAUAAACGUUUGUAUGCACCUAUAUAUAUACAGUGUAUAUCUAGAUGUAUAUAAACAUCUAUGAAUCUAGAAAAGCCAAAACAAACUACAAUUUGAAACGGAGGGAGUAUAUUUUAGCCCACAUGAACAUAUAUGCAUGUGUGUACUAAUAAACGGGGCGCUGAACGACUCCAGAGAAAUUGCGGACUCACAUAAAUGAAAUUCCAAGGCCAGGAUCUUGACAGCUUGAACCUCAAGAAGCAGAGGUAGAGGCGCAUCAGCGUGGCCAUGCCGAAGAACGUGACUGGCAGAGGUUCCCGUCGAUCUGAAGCGGUGGACGGUUGAUGACGAGGAGUUCCUCGACGCCCUUGAUGGCCAGGAGGCCAGCGCGCGACCCGGGCUCGAUCGUUCCCCGUCCAUGUUGCUGAUCAGGUGAGGUAGACGGAACGGAACGGCACGUCGUGCGCGGCGAGGAUGUGUGACGGUGACCGGUGGGAGACAGCAGCGGCGAUGGCGUCCGAGUCGGCGACCGGGGGGAGGUGGGCGUCGUAGAGGACGAGCAGGGGGAGAGCCAGACGGGGCGCCAGCGUUGCGCGCGGGCGCGCGGCGUCCUUGACGGGGACGCGCAAGGCGAUGUCGCGGAGGAGCGCGUCGGGAAGACCGCUGACUCGGUCGACGCCGCCUCAAGCCGGCGCGCCGCCGCCGCAGCCGGAGUCGAAGAGGAUGCAGAGGCGACACCGAGUCGGCGGAGACGGCCGGGGAGGGAGGGUACGGUGGAUGUUGGAGAGCGUGUCGAGAUGCGGGUCCGGAUGCUCGUCGGAGUCGACGAGGAUGCACAGGCGGCCGUCGACGCCUCGACGGACACGGCCGGGGAGGUCAGAGGGCGGUGGACGGUGGAUAGCGCCCGGCUAAUUAAUUCCUCGAGAUACGGGUCCCCACCACUUGGCCGGCCAUGGUCGCCGGCGCCGGCGCCGGAAACAAACGGAUCAAGCCGACGAGGUCUUUUGGUAAGAAGCGACACGAACGCGAUGGAGAUCGUGAGACUGUGGGUGACAGUGACACACAGCGAGUGGUAAGCGAGAGCGAUGGUGGCAGCUGGCGGGUUGGUGGAGGCGUGGAGCCACGUGUCUCAGCGGGCCCAUUGGUCGGUGCUUGCUAGUAAUACGAGUAGGUGCUUAUCACUAGCUAAUCACCCAGUCAUACUCUACUGCAAACUAGUGAUUCCUUUCCUCUCAGAAGCGCAUGGAUAUACGUACAUUGCCCAUCCAUGAUGGAGUAGGAGGUAUAAAUUGACCAAGUUUUCCGUAAUUUUGAAAAUUAAUUCUGCCUUUGGUAGCCAUUAUGCUCAGUGUGCUUCUCUCCUGUACUAAGGGCGACAGUGCCAGCAUCACAAAGACUCAGAGCAAAUGACAUGAAUACGAAACUGGUGCAGAUGUUUUCCUAUAUUUGUAGCAACUCAGGGCAGGUCUAACACACCAACAUGGCUUGUAGCCUCAAACUAAAGGUUCACAAUCUAAACUUAGUCAGCCACGACUGGACAGCACUUGCCUCCGUUAUGCCCUUUUGUCCAAGCACUAUGGAACCAAGUGUUGACUUGGGAAAAAUUUACACCGCCAACAAGCGCAUCCAUCGAACUUCAGUAGCAUUUCAUAUUGGUGGGAGGCAACAACCAUCUAUGGCCAUCUAUGGUAUGGAACCAAUUUAGUUCCCAAAGAUCGUCGGUGCUCCUUCAAUGGUAUGACCAUCUAUGGCACGUGGAGCUUGUGGAAAGAGCACAAUCCAAGGAUUUUUGACAACGUUCACUCAACAACGCAGCAAGUGGCUGAGCGAGCUAAAGAACAGUGCGAGCGAUACAAAAGGGCUUUUAGAUCAACGAGACAUUAGCAUUUGUGGUGUCAUUUUUGGCUCUUUUGUGUGAGGGGUGUUUUGGCUCCACUAGUUGAAGUUACCAUUUACCACUUUACCGGCAAUGAGUUCUUUUGGGAUGAGGGGGGAAAAAGCUAAUUUGAUGGAAUCUUGCCAUCAAGUGAUCAGCCAAAAGAAGGUAAACGGGGGAGUAGAGGGGGAAUGUACUACACUGGACGCUCGCUGCCUUCCUGAUUAGGCAGGUGAGAGACUAGGCCAAAACUUGAAGGGAGUGCACGAAGGAACCGACCGGGACGUGCGUUGGGUGUCGCCGCUUGACCGCCUGCAUGAACCGGUGGACGGACGAGACGAGACGAGACGAGACGAAACCCUCCCUCUCCAUGUCCCACUCGCCUGCCACAGGUGAGAUUUUUCUCUCCUCCCUAGCUCGCUCCUCUCUUGGUCUUUUUCCGUUCAUCGUACGUGAUAAUAAUCAGUUGAUGAUCACCCCCCAAAACCCCCCGUCCUCGGUGCCCUACUACCUACUUUCACAAGGCGUGUUAGUUAGCUACUCUUUUUAAUUGGUUGGUCAUGGAGCGGAUAAUUUGUUGCUGCCUGGAUUCAUUCUGUUUGUUAAAAAUACUGUUGGUGGGUUUGCAGUCAUGCACGGUGCCUACUUCAAGCAUGCAUAUUGGUUUAUAGUUUACUUGGUGGUCUUGAAAUUUUGUUCUUGUGUCCAUCGUCUUCGUGCGGGCUCUUGAUCUUUCUGCGCGAUCGUGCCUUCAUGGGAUUUCGGGCUUCUCUUGUGUUUGCGUUCCAUAUUCGUUUUUGCAGCUGCUUUUUCCUAGGGCAAGCAGGCGAGUAAUCAAGGAUUAUGGGAGCACCGCGCAUGAUGAUUUCUCUGCGCCGUUCGUUCCUCUCGAAAAGUCUGCUGUCUCUUCCUCAUAUCGCAUGCUCUUCUUUUGUCGUUUGUUGUUUGCUUAUGAAGUUAUGAGCAUUAGAUCUGAAGAUAAAACUGUUCAUGAUCUCUCUUCUUUUCUGCUUCUUGGUAUCUGUUUACCUUUUCCUCAUCUCGCUCUCGCUUUCAGAUUCUCAACCCUGUCUACUGUGUGCGUGCAGGGAAGGUGAAAGGGACAAACUUCACGGACAGCCCGGAGCUUGGCUCGCAGCCCAGUAGGCAAUAAGGCAUGCUUCCUUUUUCUUUUCCCCCCCUCUUAUCAUACCAAAACAAACAUAUAUGUAUAUGGGCAUAGCUGAAACUGUUAGCUCAAUUCAAACUGUGCAUUUAUUCGACUGCGAUGUGUAAGGGGGGAGACCAGAUUUUUCCACUGCGGCCAAAAAGCUAGAUAGCGUGCAGGGUAAGAAUUUAUUGAGACGAUUAAAAAUCGUGUUUACUUGUCCCAGAAUCCUUUGUCUUUGAUUUGUGAAAUCCUUGUGUUUAGACAUUAAUUCGGGAAUUCAUUUCUGGUGAUUUUCAGGGGAAUCAGAAAUGGCGGAGGGUGGUUCUUCGAGCCAUGGUGGUCGCCCUAACCCCAAGUGGAAGUGGAGAGUCGUCGACAACCUGAACCUCGUCAAAAUCAAGAAAGAGAUGAUACCUAAUUUUUUGGGGAAAAGCGAGGCUGAGGCCAUGCCCCAGUGGCAUGAAGUUAGCGGCCCAAAUUUGUUGAAAAUUUGAUGAAUGAUUCGCGUUGAUAUCCUCAUUUGCCUGUAUCUGCAGCAAAAUGGACAUGGAAGGGUCGACGGGAUUCACUGCCGAGGACUGCAUGCGCCAAUUCAAUAAGAUGAUGGAAAAGUACAAGCAGGUCGUUGAUUCUGGUCAGCAACACAAGACGAGGUAUCAGCCUUUCCGUGAGCUUGACGAGCUUGUCAAGCUUACCGACGCCCAGCCCCAGGUUGCAUCGGGGAAAAGGGGUGUUAUCGGGCGAACUCUGACGAGGAGGAGGAGGACGAGGUGCCGGCGCCGGCUGCAGCGACAGCGGUGGCGGCGGGCGUCAUUCUCGUCAAGCGCCCCCGGACCAGCAGCGUUCGCCGGCAGCUCGCAGAAUGUCGAGGCGGCGGCGGGACCCUCGCAGCUGGAGAACUACGAACUGCCGCCGCUGCCUCAGUAGUUGAGGAUCCUCCCUGCUGAAAGCGAUGACCCUUCCGUCUAUCAACAAAGGAUGGAACUGGUGGCAGGCGCGACGUUAAUUUCUUUGUGUCAGUCUAGAACUUAGGUUAUUAAUGACGUAUAUGUGAUAGCUAAAUUUUGUUACGUACAUUCUUAUCUUAUUUGAACCAUGAUAGGAUAUUUUAAUGUAUUUGAACUAAGUAGUCCAUACGUGUCAGGCAGGCUUUAGUUAUUUGUUUUGCCACAAUGUUCGCAACUGAGCGUAGGGCCCAUUGGCAAAUAAAAAAAAAUCCUGAAGCCCAACGUUCAGGUCAUCUACCAUGGCUCAUGGCUGCCUGCCCUUCUCCCUCUUCAGAAUUGAUGUGCGGCCCCUCCAAUCAAGAGCUGCGCCCCUCGAAUCGGGGGCUCAUCCUGAUGUGUCGAGCUCCCCAUGGCGGCAGCCCUUCCAAUAUUGUGCGGCU
Molecule: long non-coding RNA, 49167 nt
Filed under: Setaria viridis
Lineage: Eukaryota; Viridiplantae; Streptophyta; Magnoliopsida; Poales; Poaceae
Description: long non-coding RNA (SVIR_LNC008353)
Source: RNAcentral